RNAcentral lists this long non-coding RNA (65858 nucleotides) under Gossypium barbadense (sea-island cotton). Its description in RNAcentral is "long non-coding RNA (GBAR_LNC013184)". The stretch from base 1844 to 1967 matches the Rfam family "MIR7504 microRNA precursor family". Lineage: Eukaryota; Viridiplantae; Streptophyta; Magnoliopsida; Malvales; Malvaceae. The record is from RNAcentral.
CUUGGAAUACUGAACCAUAACUUCCAUUACCGAGCAACCUACUAUCAUUGAAUCCAUCAGUAGCUUGACGAAGCUCAUGGUAUGAAAAUCGUCUCCACGUUCCUAAAGGUAUCAUGUCUUCUUGAGUUGGCAAUUUGUCUUUCCUCCUCCUAUUUUGCAAGAUAAUGAUAAUCAGAGCCACAACCAAAAUUGUGGAGGCAAUUGGCAGAGCUACAUAUAUUAUGAGCUUAGUUUUUGCCUUGGAAUUUCUAAGAGGUCUAGUUUUGCAGUUUGGAACAUGAAGCCGAGCUGCACCACACAAGGCUUCAUUCCCCUUAAAUGAUUCGAUUGAGUAGUUUUCAAAUGAUCCUCCUUCAGGAAUUUCUCCUUCAAGCCUAUUAAAAGAGACAUUGAAAUAUUUGAGAUAACGGAGUUUCUCUAAGGAUUUGGGAAUCUCUCCAGAUAGAUUAUUUCUUGACAAGUCCAAGAAUUCCAAACUCAACAAUUCAUCAAAAGACUCAGGAAUAGAACCCAUGAUUCUAUUAUUGGGUAAGGAAAAACCAGUGAGGUCCUUGAGAUCUGCAACUCCAGUUGGGAUAUCACCUGAGAACUGAUUGUUCGACAAAUCCAAACUAGUCAAAACUUUCCAUUUUCCAAUUUCAAUUGGCAGUGGACCACUUAGAGAAUUUGAAGACAAGUAUAGGAUGAGGAGAUAGUUAAGCCUUGUCAACGAGGAAGGUAUUGAGGAGGAAAACAUAUUGGAAUCUAGACCUAGUUGCCUUAAUGAAGUGAGAUCACCUAAGCAAGCAGGUAUUUGUCCAGACAAUUGGUUAUUGGUCAAGAACAAGAAAGCCAAUUUGUUUAGAUGACAUAACUCAGAUGGGAUGGAUCCUUCUAACUUAUUGUCUUCAAGAGAAAGACUUUGCAACUCUUCCAAUCCACCAAUUGUAGUGGGAAUCUGUCCUAUCAAUUUAUUGCCUCCAAGAUCAAUGCUUAUCAAGUGACUUAAGUUUCCAAUUUCACUAGGGAUGAUACCCCUGAUGCUGCAUUCCCUAGCAUAGAACACUUCAAGAGAACUUGAGAGAUUUCCUACCACUCUUGGAAGUUCACCACUAAUGAAUGGGUUGCUACCGAAAAAAAGCUUCUCCAAGACUCUACAGUUUGUCAAAGAAAAGAGAAAGCUCAUUCCUAAGGAAGUUAAAUUAUUCCAAACCAGGUUGAGAAACUUUAAAUUUCUUAGAUUGCCCAGAUUAUCAGGAAUGGACCCUGAAAAGUAAUUAUUAGACAUGUCAAGACGAGUAAGCUGAGAGGCAUUGGAAAUAGACAUUGGGAUCGAGCCGACAAGUUGAUUGACAUCAAGAUAUAAUUCCUCCAUGUUUGGAAGGAAAAGGCCCAUGUUUGAUGGAAGAUGGCCAGAGAGCUGAUUUGUCUCCAAAGAAAUCACCCUUAGAGUUGAAAUAUUAAAUACUUGUGGAGGAAUAGAACCAGCAAUAUUGUUAUGUUCCAAAUUCAACAAUUCUAGAUUCUUUAGGUUGCCAAUCUCACGUGGUAUUAUACCUGCCAUAAAUUUUAUCAAAUAGAAUUAGACAAAUAUGAGGAAGAAAAUAGUUUAUAUAUAUGAAACAUAAUUUGCUUAUCUUUUUUAUAAUGUGUACAAUUAUAAGCAAUUAGUGUAUCAAAUAUGAAUCAACAAUAUUUACAAAAAAAAUUAAUUCACAAUAAAAUUGUUUUUAUAGAGCUCUUGCAAAUAUUAAAGUACUUCAAGUAAUUUUAAAUUGAAGUUUUUAGGUUUAAAGUUGGAAUAAGUUCAAAAUGAGAAGGGAUUGUAUGAAAUUGCGAUUCUACAUCAUCUUUAUCCCUUAUUAAUAGGAGAAUGACAAAUCAGAUUUUUCCUCUUAAUUUUUAGCUUUUUCUUCUUGAAAAAAAAUUAAAAUCCAACUAAAAAGUUAAAAAUCAAGAGGAAAAAUCUGAUUUAUCAUUCUCUUAUCGAAAAGGGAUAGAGAUUACGUGGAAUCACAGUUUAAUAUAAUCACUUCUCGUUCAAGAUAUAGAAAAUAAUGAUGAAAUAAAUGAUAAAGAACAAACAUUCAUAAGUCAAAUAAAAUAAUUAAGAACAUAAUGAUGAAUUAAAUUUGUUUUCCUUUUAUCUGAUUUGAUAAAUUUAAAAAUUUUAAGAACAUAAAAAUAAAUCAAAUAUGAUUUUUGGUUCCUUGGAGUUUUGUUUGGGGCAAAUCACCAAUAAAAGCCGUUUUUUUUUAAAUUUACCGAAAUGGGCCGAUUUUUUUAUUAUUUAUCGGAAUGGGCCGUUUUCCGCGAAAUCGCGUCCACGUCAGCGCGAUGUCAGGGUACGUGUCAGGACAUCGCGUCCACGUCAGCGCGAUUUGCUGACGUGGAAGGAAAUCGCGCCCUCUAGGACGCGAUUUGCUGACGUGGCAUGAACAGUUUGUGUUUUUAGCUUGGAAAACUUUGAAAGGCCAUAACUUUUUGCUCGGUUGUCCGAUUGAGACGAUUUUUUUUAUUUCGAAUAACUUUUUGAGAUCUACGCGCUGGCAAAUAGCCGAAGGCGGUUUGCCGAAGUUUUCGUCAAAAAAGAUCAUUUUUUGCCCCUAAAUUUUGAUUUUUUCGGUUUAAAAUUGAAUUUUGAAACAUUCAAAUCGUUAUUUUCCUCAUUUAUUUAAAGUAAACACCGGAUCUUUUUUUACAGAAUCGUUGUAUUAUUUUUUCUGAUUUGACACGUGUAUGGAAUAGGUCCGAUAAAUCGUUAGAACGUAAGUAAUAUAAUUAAGAUAAUAGCAGUAUUUCUAUAAUAUGUCAAUUAAUUAGUUUGGCUUAGUUGGUUAAGAUGCUUGCUCCUUUCUUUUAAUACAUUGGUUCGAAUCUUAUUGGUAACAAUUUUGAAUCUUUUUUGUACUUAUUGCAUUUAACCAACUAAGUCAAACUAACCAACUAAGUUUGAUAUUAUUGACAAAGCAUGGAAAUGAUGUUAUAGUAGAGUUUUCUUAUACAAGGUCUUAUGUUCGAUCGGAAAUAUUAUAGAGAAAGGGAAUAAGGGAGUUAUAAACUUAGUAAUCAACAUCUUGCACCAAAACAGUUUUGGACAGCAGCAGUAGGUUAACUUUGAAAAAUCACCAUAAAUUGUGAAAAUCGAAUUAGAGGAUGAACAAAAUAUGGAAUUAAAUCUUAUUGAGUCUAGUUUCUCAUAAAAGAAACAGUGUAAGUAAUGGAAUUGUAAAUCAUUAGAUAUAAUAAAUUUUGUGAGACAAGUUCAGAAUGAAUUCGGGUUCCCCUGUUCUGACUUUGGAAAAUCAUAAAAAUUUGGAUAAAAAUGAUUAGGGGUUAAAAUUUACAUGUUUAAAUUAUUAAUGAGUCUAUUUUCAAUAGAAACAAAGAGAAAUAUCAUCCAAAUUUGUACUAAGAGAUAAUUAAUUUUUAGUGAAGAAGGGUUAAAACUGUCAGAUAGAAGAAUAGGGAUGACUUUAAAGAAUAAACUGUACUUAUUUGCUAAACCAAAAAUUAUGAAAAUUUUAUGGUAAGAAGAUAUGUGAGCGUAGUUUCAGAGAAAAUUAGCGGAUCUUAAUUCGGAAUUCUGUAGCUUAAGAUAUAAUUAAUUUAGUGACUAUGACUCAAGUGAACAGCUUGUUAUGAAUAAACAAGUAAAUAGUAUUAUUAUGUAUAUAUCAAGGAUGUGGAAUGGAGAGGAGGAAAAUAUAUGAAUAUUUUGCUAGCAUGGGUUUGCAUUAAAAAUAGUUAAUUUGCAUGAUUUGGACUCAUGGACUAAAUAGAAUAAAAGUAAAAUUUUAGGGGCAAUUUUGUAAAAAUAUCAAAAAUAUCAAAUUGCAUAAAAUGAAUUGUUUUAUUAUUUAAAUUAAUAAAUUGAAUGAAAUAUUAAUUUUAAUCAAGAUCGGGUAGAAAAUCUAGGAAAAUAGAAUGUAAUCACUGAAUUUUGUCCGGGACGAAUUUGCGUUUUUAAAAAAAAUUGCAUUUUAGCCCCCAAAUUUUUCAAAAAUUAUAUUUUAACCCUUAGGCUUUUCUAAAUUUACAUCUUGACCCCUAAUAUUUUAUAAAUUACAUUUAGACCCCUAAUAUUUCUAAAAAUUAUAUUUUGGCCCCAUAUUUUUCUAAAAUUGCACUUUUACCCCAGAAAUUUUGCAACUUCUGCAGUUUGGUCCUUCUGGACAUGUCAAAUCAGCCAAUCGGCAGUUGAGCGUCUACAAGACCUCUGUGCGGACGUCUACGGGAGCAACUCCUUUCUCCUUGGUCUACAGGAUGGAAGCCGUUUUGCCUAUUGAAGUAGAGAUCCCAUCUUUGUGAGCUUUAUGGAGACAAAACUAGAAUAAUCGGAAUGGGUUCGAGCUCGAUAUGACCAGCUAAACCUUAUUGAAGGAAAGCGCUUGAAGGCAAUUUGUCACGGACAGAUGUACCAGAAGAGAAUGAUCACGGCCCAUGAUAAAAAGGUGCGACCAAGAGAAUUUCGCGAAGGAGAGCUAGUACUAAGAAAGAUCCUCCCGAUACAGAAAGACUUUCGAGGAAAAUGGUCACCAAAUUGGGAAGGGCCAUACGUUGUUAAAAAGGCAUUCUCAGGGGGGCUCUGAUUCUCACUGAGAUGGAUGGGAAAGAAUUACCUAAUCCAGUAAACACAGAUGCUGUGAAGAAAUAUUAUGCCUAAAAAAAACAAAAACAAAAACAAAAACAAAAACAAAAACAAAAACAAAAACAAAAACAAAAACAAAAGAAAAAAAGAAAAAGAAAAAUCAAGAUGAAAACCCGAAAAGGGCGUCUUGAUAAACAAAAAGGAUUAGGAUGAAAACCCAAAAGGGCGUCCUAAUGAAAUGGGUUCGGGCUUAAAGGAGCAAAGUGAUUUGAACGGGGAGUUGAAUGACGAAGUCGCAAUAUUUGAAGCAUUCUCAGAAGCUCGAAAUCUUCUACACAGAAAGCCAUGCUCGAAAAGAUCCUUGACGAAGAAACGUGGAAAAGUUCAUGUGUUGGAUAUCCAGAGCAUUCAUGACCAUUGAAUUCACUUUCCGUUCUUUUUUAUACUUUCUUUCUUUGAACUAUUCCUUGUCAAUAUUCUUCGUUUGUUGCUUUUGAAAAAAACUAAAUGUGAGGUAUUUCUUGUAUGCCUACUUUGCCAUUUCUUCAUGCAUAUCGUGUUUGAAUCAUUUAAAUGAUAAAUAGUAAGAUGACAUACUCUAAACAAAAGGAAUGUUGAACAUUACCUGGAUGAGAAUUUGACAAGUACAAGGGCCCCAAAACAGGAACAAAGUUCAAUAAGGGGGCAAGAGGGUGAUAUACGAAAAAAUGUGGGUUACUCACCAAACUUGAAGAUGAGUACAAAACUUGAGAGAAAAGUCAAAGAUUGAAGCAAUGAAUGCAAUCUCUCACGAAAAAGGGGGCAUGUGAGAAACAGCCCAGGGGGUAUGGCAUGAUCAUGUAGGCAUAAAAGUAUUUAGGACAAACACGUCCAUAUCAUGAUAACAUUGUACAUGACAUAUAUAGGUAUCCCAGUAGAGCAAGGAAUACUGGGAGAAAGUUGCACAGAAUCAGUGAAGAAAAAGACUUCUAGUUUCAACUGAUGUUUUUUGAAACCCUGUUUCUUUCAAGAAAUAUUUUUCAAUUUCUAUUUUUUUAAUAAAAUCAACUCAUAAUGCGAGAAGUGAGUUGAGCCUCAGGCACACGCUGAGGUAUUUUUUAAAUUUCUAUUUUUUCAAAAAUCAACUCAUAUUGCGAGAGGUGAGUUGAGCCUCGGGUCAAAUGCCGAGGUAUUUCUUUUAAAUUUCUGUUUUUCAAAAAAUCAACUCAUAUUGCGAGAUGUGAGUUGAGCCUCGGACACACGCCGAGGUAUUUUUUAAUUUCUAUUUUUUGAAAAGUCAACUCAUAUUGCGAGAGGUGAGUUGAGCCUCGGGUCACAUCCUGAGGUAUUUUUCAAUUUCUAUUUUUUUCAAAAAAAAUCAACUCAUAUUGCGAGAGGUGAGUUGAGCCUCGGGUCACAUCCUGAGGUAUUUGUUAAAUUUCUGUUUUCAAAAAAUCAACUCAUAUUGCGAGAGGUGAGUUAAGCCUCGGGUCACAUCCUGAGGUAUUUUUCAAUUUCUAUUUUUCGGAAAAAAUCAACUCAUAUUGCGAGAGGUGAGUUGAGCCUCGGGUCACAUCCUGAGGUAUUUUUUUAAUUUCUAUUUUUUUUUCAAAAAUCAACUCAUAUUGCGAGAGGUGAGUUGAGCCUCAGGUCACAUGCCGAGGUAUUUCUUUUGAAUUUUUAUUUUUAAUUUUUUUAAAAAAAAUCAACUCAUAUUGCGAGAAAUGAGUUGAGCCUCGAGGCGCAUGCCGAGGUAUUUCUUUUAAAUUUCUAUUUUUUAAAAAUCAACUCAUAUUGUGAGAGGUGAGUUGAGCAUCGGGUCACACAUCAAGGUAUUUUCCAAUUUCUGUUUUUCAAAAAAAAAACUCAUAAUGCGAGAGGUGAGUUGAGCUUCGGGUCGCACGCUGAGCUUUUCUCAAUUUCUAUUUUUCAAAUAAAAAGAAAAUUUUGGACAGUCGAACAAAAUUCAGUGCUUUUAAGUCUUUGCUCUAUCUCUGUUUCACAGUGAUGAGCAAAGAGGGGCAGCUGUAAUCACUGAAUUUUGUCCGGGACGAAUUUGCGUUUUUAAAAAAAUUUACAUUUUAGCCCCUAAUUUUUUCAAAAAUUACAUUUUGACCCCUAGAUUUUUCUAAAUUUACAUCUUAACCCCUAAUAUUUUAUAAAUUACAUUUAAACCCCUAAAAUUUCUAAAAAUUAUAUUUUGGCACCAUAUUUUUCUAAAAUUGCACUUUUACCCUAGAAAUUUUACAACUUCUACAAUUUGGUCCUUCUGGACAUGUCAAAUUAGCCAAUCGGCAGCCGAGCAUGCUCCACCCACCUCCAGCUACUCCAGCAGCCUCCCUAGGCCAUGAUUGCUCCACUACCACCUGAAAACAAAGAAGAAGAAGACAAAUCAAUGAGAUUAAAAAGAAGCAAAUGAGAGAAAGAGGGGGAUUCGGUUUUGGGCAGCCAAAAAAGAAAAAAAUAACAGAGAAAUUUCAAGAAAACAACACUCAAAUUCGGCCGCUCCUUCACCAUCACUGUGCCCACCGCCGCACCAUUUCUUUCCCUCCACCACCAUUACCUACAACCCAAUUCGGCAGCCAAGCAAACAAGCAAAAAAGAAAAAAAAACAAAUUUUGAGAAAAAAGAGAGAGCAAAAACAGUAACAAAAAAGGGGCACCGCCGCCGUCGUGCUCGCGCCGCUGUACCCACCAUCGCACUCGCACUGCCCCGAUACCUAGCAAGACAACCAAUAGGCAAGAAAAAAGAAAAAAAGUAAGCAAAAAGAAAAAAAAGAAGAAAAAAAAAAGCAAAGAAGAAAAAAAGAAAAAGGGGGAAAGGGAAGACCACCGUGCGCGCCACCGUCGGCCGCCGGUGGGAAGUAGGUCGCCGUCGACGAGAGCAACAAGAGGGGGUUGAUCGGGGAAGAAAGAAAGGAAGAAAAAGAAGAAAGAAAGAAGAAAAAAGAAAGGAGAAAGAAAGAAGAAAAAAAAGGAAAAAGAAAACAAUUUUUUUAAAAUCGGGCCGAACCGACCCGAAUCUGGCUCGACCCGACUGACCCGUGACCAGACCCGGCAGUAGUUAGCAGGCCCAACAGUAGCAGAUCAGCCCCCCAAAAAAACAAAACAAAAUAGCAGCAGCAAAAAAAUAGCAGUAAAAAAAUAGCAGGCCUUUCCAGCAGCCCAAGCGCAAGCCCAAUUGCAGCAGCCAACCAGCAGGCCUCCAGGCCAGCAUGCACCAGCCCAGCAGGCCCAAGAGAAGCAGGCCAGAAAAAGAGAAGGAAAAAAGAGAAAAAAAAAGAAAAAAAGGAAAAAAGAAAAAAGGUUCAAUUUGUGUAACCCGUUCGACGUAGCUCGUGUUUCGGGAUCUUUUCGGUAAUUUCGUUUAUUUCACUUUUAAUUUCAUGCUCGUAUUUUUAUGUUAUUUAGUUUUAAUAUUAUUAGCAUUUUAUGCAUUUUUAUAUUUUUAAUUUAAUUUAAUUCCAUUCUAUUUUAAUUUUAUUUUAAAUAAUUUUAAUAAAUAAGGCAACGAAUCGGUUUAACAUAAAAUCGUUGAUUUCAUCGCUAUGUUGGGUGAAUAUCACUGGUUUGCGUUAAACUCGAUACGUCCUUUUAAAACCAAAAGUAUUCAAAAAAUUUCAUGUUUUCGAAAAAAUUCCUGUGUUUCGAAAUUUUCGUGUCUUCAAAUAUUUUUCUCGUGUUUCAAAAAAUAUUCGUGUUUUCAAAAAUAAGGCAACGAUUCGAUUUGACACUAAUUCGUUGAUUUCAUUGCUAUGUUGAGUGAAUAUCACCGGUUCUUGUUAAUACGAUACAUGCUUAAUAAAAAUAAAAAAAUUUGUGUAAUAAAAAAAAAAAUCUUUCCGUGGUUUCAAAAAUAAUCGUGUUUUCACAAAAUAAAAAAAAAAGAUUCCGUUCUUCAAAAUUCUAAUGUUUUCAAAAAAUUCUAUUUUUAAAAAAUUUUCGUGUUUUCAAAAAAAAUAAAUAUAAUUGUUUCAAAAAUCUUCGUGUUUAAAAAUAAAAAUCUCGUAUUUCAAUCGGAUCACGAUUAAAUAUUAAAUUGAACUCGUAUUUUUGAAAAUUAAGACAACAUGCGUUUAACGAGAUACCAAUUUUGGGCGUCGCGAGGGUGCUAAUACCUUCCUCGCUCGUAACCGACUCCCGAACUCAAAUUUUCUCUGGAUUUUUAGACCUAAAAUUACCUCUUUUUUAGAAAAGUUUAAAAAUAAUUUUUUCUUCUAAAAAGAGAAUUUUGUAGGUGUCCGAUCACACCUAAAGAAAAGAUCGAUGGCGACUCCUUUUUUAAAAAAAUCGAGAUUCUGUUUUCAAAUUUGCAAUAAUUACUUCGACUAGCGCACGUGCCCAAAUUUUUUGGUCGCUACAUAGAAAAUUACCAAAAUGCCCCUAUAUUUUUGUAUUUCUGUAAAUUUAGCCUGGUAAGUUCGUGUAACCUGAAUUAUAUUCUUAAAUGCUUGAAAUAUAUGUUAUUGAUGUGAAUAUGAUUUAAUUGUUCAUUGUAUGAAAAUUGAUGAAACAUUGAUAUAUUUGAUAAAAAGGGAAGAAAUCCCGGUUGAAUGAAAGGAAAAUUCGAUGGAUCUUUAAAAAAGAAUUGACUGUAAAAAGGAUCUAGCCCGGACGGGUGAUCUUAUCCUGAUAUAGCCCUCCUGAAGAAUAUAUGUAAAAUGGAUUUAGCCCGGACGGGUAAUCCGAAUUAGGGUCUCAAUUUAGCCUGGACCUGUAAUUCAGAUCCAAGCUCAUUAGAGUAAAUUGUCGUUGUAGGGGAUUUAGCCUGGACUGGUAAUCCCAACAAUACUCUUUGAGUUUAUAUUACAAGGAAUUUAGCAUGGACUGGUAAUCCCGUUUUAAGGAUGAGGUUCGCAGGAGUGUGCUCUCUGAAAUAGAAAUGUACGCACAUGAAGAAUAUGAAUUGACGAAUAAGACCAUAACUAGGUUAUGGCACUAUGAACAUAAGACCAUGGUUGGACCAUAGCAGUGUUUAUAUGUAAGACCAUAGGUGGGCUAUGGCAUUCUGACGAUAAGACCAUAACUGGGUUAUGGCACUACGAAUUGUAAAGGAUGAAUUGACGGCAAAUUACCCAAGUAAACCGAGGUUCAGCAUUCGUUGCGAACUUUCGUGUUUACUAUCUGUUUAGAUCAAUCUUUUGCAACGAAGAUAUAUUAAAGAUGGAGGAGGGUAUUGAACCUGAAAUCCGGUUUUUAGACAAGACCAAGAUCUGUAGCUUUGACAAAUAGCCUAAAGAGAAUGGAAUAGCACCUUUGAAGUUGUUGUGGUACAAAAACAAUCUUCGAAGUGCACCAUGAUGGGAUUUCUCCACUGAAGGAGUUGUUACCAAAGCUUAAAUAUUUUAGCAGAUGCAAAUUGGAUAACUGGACAGGUAAUCUGCCGUAGAAACUAUAUUACCUGUCCAGUUAUCAAUUUGCAUCGGCUGGAAUAUUUAAGCUUUGGUAACAACUCCAAUUUCCCAAGUGAGGUGGAAGGGUGCCUACGAGUCCCAACCCAGUAAGGUUUAGAGCUGUGACUCUACGGUGCUUGGAUCCACAACUUACACCAAACCAAUUGCAAACAGGGGCAGAGGUUGACCAAUUAGUUGUCAAGACAUUUUUAGGAUCAUGAAUAACAUGAUCUUUUAAUGCUAGAAGAGCUGAUUGAUCUGUAAGUAUGGUGGUUAAUAAAAAAAUGGAAGAUGAUAAGAAGAGCUAAGUUGAGGAAAGUAUUCCCCAUUUGAAUUUGGGUGUUUAUCAAGCUACCAACAAAGAGUACAGAACUGAGAUUGGUAGACAGAUAAUUGAAUGACCACACAACUUCUUUUACAUAAUAUGUGUGUAUAUAUAAAGGGAGUUUAUAUUGCAAUUUCUUCUUGCAAGAAUGCAAAUGCUUUGAAUAAAAAAGAUAUAGGUAAACUACCAAAAUAGUCACUUUUGUUUGGCUCAGGUUACAUUUUAGUCGCUUAUGUUUGAAAUGUUACGUUUUAGUCACUUAUGUUAUCACGUUGUAACAUUUUAGUCACUGAGCCGUUAGUUUCUGUUACCGGUGUAACAGUAAACUAAUGUGGCACGUUAAAUCAUCAUUUCAAACAAAAAUUCUAGGUUAAUUUAUACAAUCGAUCUCCAUAUUUUUUUCGUUUGGAGCAAUUUAAUUUUUUUCUUUUAUGUUUUUAUAACUUUCUUUCUUUUUCAUUCUCUUAUGCUUCUCCUUUUGUUUUCCUCCCUUCUCCAUUUCUUUCAACGUAGUUUUUCUAUGUUUUAUUUUUUUGAACAAUUUAAUUUUUUCGAGUGAGGCGAGCUUGUGGACUAGUUACAAAUGGAAAGCAUAGAAAAACUAUGUUAAAAGAAAUGAAGAAUGAGGAAAAUAGAGGGCGAAGCAUAAGAGAAUGGAAAAAAAAAGUUAAAAGAACAUAAAAGAAAAUUUAUAAAUUGUUGAAAAUAAAAAAAUAUAGGGACCAAUUGUAGAAUUUAACCUAAAAUUUUUGUUUGAAAUGAUAAUUUAACGUGCCACAUCAACUUGCCGUUACACCAUUGUCGACAAUUAACGACUCAGUGACUAAAAUGUUACAACACGAUAACGUAAGUGACUAAAACGUAACAUUUCAAACAUAAGUGACUAAAAUGUAACAUAAGGCAAACAAAAGUGACAAUUUUGAUAGUUUACCCAAAAGAUAUUGACUAAAAAUUAAAACAAACCAUGAAAUUUCUUUAAGGUUGAAAGAUUUUAUUUAAUUUUUUUUUGGAAUAAUAUUUUUUUUGGUCUUUUAUUUAUUUUUUAUUAUUUUAAUCUUUAAAUUUACGUUAUUUGUUAAAUUACCCCAAAAUGGAUGGAAAAGUUAACUUUUAUUAAUUUUGCUGAUGUGGCAUACAUAUGGAUUGUCACGCGAAUGCCAAGUUAGCAAUUAAUUAUUUUUUUAAAUUUAAAAAAUAAAAAUUAUUAAAUUAUUUUAAAAAUUAUUAAAUUUUUUAGAAUAUGUAAAAGUAUAAUUAAUUGCUAACGUGACAAUCCACAUGUAUGUCACAUCAGCAAAAUUAACAAAUACUAACUUUUUCAUCUAUUUUAAGUGAUUUGAUAAAUAAUACAAGUUCAAAAGUUAAAAAGAGAUGAAUAAUUAAAUAGAGAGCUAAAAUAUAAAGUCUUUCCACUUUGUCGAUUUAGAAGUGAUUGUAAAAUUUAUAUUAUUUAAAUAGAAAAUAAUCUUCUAGUUAUUAAUUAAAAUAUAAUUUAUUUAAUUUAUUUAAUUAAUUAAAUUAAUUUUUAAUUAAAUAUUUUUCUCAAUCCAAUUUUAAUUUCGUUACAGUAAUGACUAAUUAAUUUUAAUUAAAUAUUUAAUUUUUUUUAUACCGGAUAAGUAAUGACUAAUUAAUUUAAUCUCAAUUUUAAACUUUAAUUAUUUAAUUAUAAUUAAUUAAAUAAUAAUUUUAAAAAUCUUAAAGUAAUUCUGAAGUCAUUUCCAUUCAUUUUUGUUCAUUUCUAUCCAUUUAAUUUUACAUACAAUUUAUUUUUUAUUUCAACGAGCUAACUAUUUAGUAACUAUAAAAUACAAUGUAGAGAUCAAUAUGGAAAUAUAAAUUUUAAAUUUUAAAUAUUUUUUGUUAUAUAAAUUUUUAUUUGAAGUAUGAAACGUUAUUUUCUUAGCAAAGAGACUAGUGUUGGGAACAUAUCCACGCACUAAUUUUUCAUGACUGUUCUAUAAAAAUAGUCACUCAAUUAUUAUCAUAUUUUUAUUUUGGUCACUCGAGUUUAAAAUUUUUUAUUUUAGUCACUAAUGUUAUCAAAAUUUAAUAUUUUGGUCAUUCUUCCAUUAAAUCACUAAUAGUGGUCCUUUUUUAUUGGAAUCAUAAAAAAUUUAACCCUCCAAUAUUUAUAGAUUCCAUCAAUUUAGCCCUAAAUCUAAAAAAUUCAACAUUUAUAUUAAUAUUGAUAGAUUCUAUAAAUAUUAAUAAAUCAUUUUUAAUGAAUUUUAUAUUUUUGAAAUUAUUGUAAUUUUAAUCUAGUUUAGCUAACUCGAGUGUUAAUUUUUGAAACUGAUAAAAUUUCUAAAUGUUACUAUUGAUGAAUAAUUGAUGAAAUUAGUAUUACUUGAUUAGAAUUUUCUACUUAGAUAUGAAAAAGGAUUAAUUAUCAAUUAUCAAUUCCAAAUAAAAAAUUUAUUGAUAUUUUCUAUUAUGAAAACCCAUUCUCAAUGUGUUGCAUCGUUGAACAAGUAAUUUUUACUUCUAUUGUGGCAAAUUCAACGAAGGGAGUUAUCUUCUUAUUUCUACCAUAAAAAGUUUCUCAAUAUAUUUCAUUGGGUGAAAAUUUUGAGUUAGAUAAUUAGAGUGCUUCAAAAUCUCAUGGCAAUCGACAAAUUAUGUGAAUGUGUGUGAAAAUAGGAAGGAUAUUAAUCUUAAGCAAACAAAAGUUUAGAUGACAAUUCCCAUGAUACUCGUUGGAUAAUUCGGUCAUCUUUUUUAUGGAAUGUAAACUUUUCUAAAUGAUAAGGAAAGGAAAGCUUGGGCAAUUCAAUUUAAGUAGUUCACCUCUAAUUCCCCAUCUCCACUACUUUAGUAUACUUCAAUCAAUAAUUUCCCAAAUUACUAUAAGAAUUAAUACCUUUCAAGGAGAAGGUAUAACAUUUACAACAACACUGUCUUUUUCUUAAAGGCUUAGAUAUAACCUUUCCCUCUAGCUUUUAUAGUUGUUAUAUAGUCGUUGGGAAGUCAUGUCUCAAGACAAUUUAUCAAUUGUCUCUAGACACACUGCACAAUAUCUCAAGACAAGCAGCUCUUAUCAAUCGAUACAAGCCAGUAUGAACUUGUAUAAGUUAGUAUUGACUGAAACGAGCUGAAACAUACUGGAAUGGUCGAAACACAUCAAAAUCUUAACCAUAAUGGAAUCUAUACUACUUCAGAUUGGUUGAAGACCAGAAAGAUACAUAUCGAGUGUGUUAAAUGUUGAUGCCCCUUUUAUGUACUGUUUUAUAUUUUUGUUCUUUUAAUAAGAUUUGUUUGGCUUAUAAAAAUUAUUUUUAUUAAAAUAAAAUAACUGAAAACCUUAUGCAAAGACUGAAAAAAGAGAUCAAAAUUUGCUAUGUUUUGAUAUUGGACAUUUAAUAAUUUGUACCUAUAUUCUUAAAAAAAAAUUGUACCAAUACAAUUUCAUAAAAUUAGUACAAAUGAUCAUCAAAAUUCAGCAUAACUUUUUUGAACCUAAAUAUAUUGCUAAUUGAUAUAAUUGGGAACGGUUAUGCAGUUGAUAAUAAUCUUUUUGGACUUCGUUUAAUAUAUGAUUUAUGCAAGUAAUAUUGGCAACUCAAGUUUCGGCAUGUCUUACGAGAACAUAAUACACUGACAGAUUGCAUGAACAAAGAUGUUCUUAGUAAUUUUAAUAGGUUAACAACUUUUGAAGACCCAGCUGGUCAUGCUCAAUCUUUGUUAGAAAAAGAUGUUCAUCGAGCAAUGAUUAAUAUAGAUUCCUAUUAACCUAAUUGUAGCUAAUUCCUUGAACUUGUUUCUUUUUUUAAAAAAAUGCACAAAAUGCAGAAAUAACUAUUAAUAAACUUUAUAGGAAAACAGAGCAUCUGUAUAAAUAUUUAUCAAAGAUAUUGCUAGAAAGCAAAGUUUAUGUUUAUUUUAGUCAAUUUAACAAUGGCCUCUUCAUCGAACGCGUUGCAUAUCCCUUGAUAACUUUACUUUGAUCUUCUUUAACUAUGUAACAACCUCUUUCAUAUGAAGCCUCUCAUUUGGUAACUCUGCAGAACAUUCUAAGCCAACUUGCAAAAUGGAUAAGGCACAAUUCUUGACUUUUAAAUGUUCCCUUCCAAUGGUGCUCAACAACUUGGGAUCUACAACUUGAUUUAGCGAAGAUGAUAUCGACUCUAUCACCCAACUCUUCAAGCUUCUUUCUCCUUCAAACAUUUCAUCUGUGGGCUAUUUUCUUGUGAUAAUUUCCAUCAAAAGAAUACCAAAGCUAUACACAUCACCUUUUGUCGAAACAAUUCCUUCCAUUCCAUAUUCUGUGUAUGAAUAUAAAGACAACAUUAUUAAUAUUCAAAGAUAUCUUGAUAAUGAAAAAUUCGUAUAAAAUAUCCGAAACAUUAUAUGCUUGCAUGUUAUAAUUGAACUGGGAUUUAAUCUAGUUGCUUCCUUAAAAAGUCACAUUUAAUAUGUUUGAAACUCAAAUCUUAACAUAUAUGAUCCCUUUUGCUAUGCACAUGCUACGCUUAUAUUGAAAAUGGAAAAAUAGACAUGGAGUUUGAUUAGAAGGAUCAGUUGGUGCCAUAUAUCCAAAUGUUGCCAUUGUCAUGGUUUGUAUCAUUGAAACCUCUUCACGUAAGAGUUUCGCGAUGCCAAAAUCACUCAAAUGCGCAACCAUAUCUUCAUCUAAUAGAACAUUGUUGGGUUUCAAAUCAUAGUGAACCACGGGUGUUGCAUUACCAUGGUGGAGAUAUUCCAAUGCAGAUGCAACAUCUAUCAUUAUGUUCAACCUUUGUAGGAUAUCCAAAUAUUGGUUGUUGGAAUACAACCAUUUAUCAAGACUCCCACUAGGCAUGAACUCAAGCACCAACGCUUUGAAAUUAAGAUCAUUAGAGCAACUGCUUAUUACUUUGACUAAAUUUCUGUGACGAGUGUUGCGGAGAACAUCACAUUCAACAUCAAAGCUCUUAAAAGCUCCUUCUAACUCUAACUUGAAGACCUUCACCGAAAUUACCGUCCCAUCCUGGAGAGUCCCUUGGAAUACUGAACCAUAACUUCCAUUACCAAGCAACCUACUAUCACUGAAUCCAUCAGUAGCUUGACGAAGCUCGUGGUAUGAAAACCGUCUCCACGUUCCUAAAGGUAUCAUGUCUUCUUGAGUUGGCAAUUUGUCUUUCCUCCUGUAUUGCAAGAUAAUGAUUAUCAGAGCCACAACCAAAAUUGUGGAGGCAAUUGGCAGAGCUACAUAUAUUAUGAGCUUAGUUUUUGCCUUGGAAUUUCUAAGAGAUCUAGUUUUGCAGUUUGGAACAUGAAGUCGAGCUGCACCACACAAGGCUUCAUUCCCCUUAAAUGAUUCGAUUGUGUAGUUUCCAAAUGAUCCUCCAUCAGGAAUUUCUCCUUCAAGUCUAUUAAAAGAGACAUUGAAAUAUUUGAGAUAACGGAGUUUCACUAAGGAUUUGGGAAUCUCUCCAGAUAGAUUAUUUCUUGACAAGUCCAAGAAUUCCAAACUCAACAAUUCAUCAAAAGACUCAGGAAUAGAACCCAUGAUUCUAUUAUUGGAUAAGGAAAAAUGAGUGAGGUCCUUGAGAUCUGCAACUCCAGUUGGGAUAUCACUUGAGAACUGAUUGUUCGACAAAUCCAAACUAGUCAAAACUUUCCAUUUUCCAAUGUCAAUUGGCAGUGGACCACUCAGAGAAUUUGAAGACGAGUAUAGGAUGAGGAGAUAGUUAAGCCUUGUCAACGUUGAAGGUAUUGAAGAGGAAAACAUAUUGGAGUCUAGAAAUAGUUGCCUUUAUGAAUUGACAUCACCUAAGCAAGUAGGUAUUGGCCCAGACAUUUUGUUAUUGGUCAAGAACAAGAAAGCCAAUUUGUUUAGAUGACAUAACUCAGAUGGGAUGGAUCCCUCUAACUUAUUGUCCUUAAGAGAAAGUCAUUGCAACUCUUCCAAUCCUCCAACUGUAGUAGGAAUCUGUCCUAUCAAUUUAUUGCCUCCUAGCUCAAGGUUUAUCAAGUGACUUAAGUUUCCAAUUUCACUGGGGAUGCUACCCCUGAUGUUGCAUGCAGAAGCAGAGAAAUCUUCAAGAGAACUUGAGAGAUUUCCUACCACUCUUGGAAGUUCACCACUAAUAAAUGAGUUGAUGUCGAAAAAAAGGUUCUUCAAGACUCUACAGUUUGUCAAAGGAAAGAGAAAGCUCAUUCCUGAGGAAGUUAAAUUAUUACUCGCCAGGUUGAGAAUAUUUAAAUUUCUUAGAUUGCCCAGAUUAUCCGGAAUGGACCCUGAAAAGUAAUUAUUAGACAUGUCAAGAAGAGUAAGCUGAGAGGCAUUGGAAAUAUACAUUGGGAUCGAGCGGGCAAGGUGAUUGAAAUCAAGAUACAAUUACUCCAUGUUUGGAAGGAAAAGGCCCAUGUUUUAUGGAAGAUGGCCAGAGAGCUGAUUUGUAUCCAAAGAAAUCAUCCUUAGAGUUGAAAUAUUGAACAGUUGUGGAGGAAUAGAACCAGCAAUAUUGUUAAAUGCUAAAUUCAACCAAUUUAGAUUGUUUAGGUUGCCAAUCUCAUGUGGUAUUAUACCUGCCAUAAAUUUUAUCAAACAAAAAUAUUAGACAAAUAUGGAACAUUUGCUUGUAUUUUGUUCUUCUAAGAACAUAAAAAUAACUCAAUUAUGAUUUUAUUAGAGUUUUGUGUGGCCUCAACUGGGAAAGAAUGGACUUAAAAGAAAAGAAAUAUACUAUUUGCAAUGACACGAAAAAAAAUUAUAGCUAUUGUAACAUAAUCAAAAUAUAGAAAGCCGUUGAACAAAAUUAAACCUAUCAUUAAAAGUUGGAAAUAAUUGACCUGUAAAAUUGCCAUGGGAACAAUCAAACAGCCUGAGAAGAGUUAAAUUCACAAUUUGUUUAGGAAUUUCACCUGCAAUUAUAAAAUUCACUUGUCAAAUUCAAAAUUCAUCUCUUAGUAAAGAUUAUAAGAUAAUAAAUGCUUAAUAACUUACUUAGCUUUCCAAUUUUAUAUAAUAAAGUCAUUUUAAUUUUCUAUUUAAUUUUUCGCCUUUAAACUUGUAAUAUUUGUCAAAUAUACCUCCAAAAUGGAUCAAAAAAUCCAUGUGCAUGUCACGUACUUAGUUUCUUGUUUGUUUAUCUUAUUUCUUCUCUAUCAAAGACCAAUAUUUAUUUUUAUUUGGUCCAAUCAAAAUAUAUUUUAUCAUUUCUGUAUUCGCAAGUCAAUAUAGAUGGAUAUUUCAAAACAUAUAUAUGUCUCUCUUAUUCUCGAUUUUCUCAAGCAAUUUGGUGGAAUACUCGAACGUUCGAUUCUUUUUUUUGGUCUUAACUUCAAUCUUUAUGAAUGAAAACAAAAGAAAAGAGUUUCUCAUUAUGAUCUAGGUUUCAUUUCUAUGGGUUAAAAAAAUUAAAAUAGUUAGUUGAAAGACCCAACAAAAAGUUGGUUAUAGAGGAGUUCAAGGAUAGAAAUAACCAAAACUCAUCUCAGCUACUGUACAAAUAGGUGUCGUAACCAUUUUUUUGUAAAAAGGUCGUUGACUUGGAUUUUGAAAAACGAAAACGAACAUGGGAGUCGCCACCAAUCCUUUUUAUUUAAGUGUGAUCGGAUCACCUUAUAAUUUAAUCAUUUUAAUAAAAGUUUUAAAUUUACUAAAACGAUAAUUUUUUUGUCUACAAAAUCCAAGAAAAGGGUUCGGGAGUUGGUUACGCAUGAGGAAGGAUUAGCACCAUCGAUGCACCCCAAAUUGGCAUCUAGUUGAUUAAUUAGUUUCUUAGUGUCGAAGAUUGAAAACUUUAAAGAGAUUUAAAAUUUGAUCCUUUAUUGAAAUGCUAAAAAAAUUUGAGGAAAAGGGCAUACUUUACGUUAAUCGAGAAAAGAGAAUUACGUCCCGUAAGUUAAGACACAAUACCACGUACUUUUGAGAAUAAGCUCCCUUUUGUUUUUUUUUCUCAAAGCAUGUUUAUUUUAGUUUUUAAAAGGAUAUUCGGUUAUUUGGGUUCAACGCGAGAAGAAUCAAGACCCAGUAAGUUAGGAUACGACUUCUCGGAUUUCCAAUUACAGAAUAUUGCCUUUAUUAUUUUUUAGAAAAGAACCUCAUCUUGAGAAAAAUAACAUGUCAUAUCCAAUGCGUUAGGACACAACAUAUCGAAUUCUCGAGAUAAGCUUUAAUUUUGGAAUUUCUACGUUUAAAUUGAAAAAGGGAUAUUCAGUUACUUACAUUCAACAAGGAGAAUUGAAGCCCAGUAAGUUAGGGCACAAUCCCCUCGAGAAUCUUGGAUACCGAGUAGUUGAAAACUUAUGGAUAAAAUGAUUUCAAUAUUUUUCUAAACGGAUGUAACGCGAUUGAAUGGUAACGUAUUACGCAAAAGUAUAAUUUAAAAAUAAAAUACACGUUAACGAAUCAUGAAUAAUAAAUAAACACAAACUAACAUAGCGAUAAUAAUCUCAAUCAUACAUGUCGAAUAUCGAUAUCAAUAUUUGAAAUAAAAACGAGCUAAUUAAUGCAAACACAAGCCAAGUGUAUAAGUUUUGAAAUGACUAGAAAAAUAAAUGGUAUGAAAAGAAUGGAAAUUGUGAAUCAAUAAAGCAUAUACAUAGAAAUUUUAACAUAAGUAUAUACAAAAAAUUUGAAAUAGAUUAAAAUGGAGUUUAAAAUAAAAUAAAAUAAAUAGUAUGCGAAGUAAAUUUUAGAGUAAAGGUUCAAAAUAUUAAUAUAUACAUAUAUUAAAAUUUUAAAAAAAGUAAUACGUAUGGGGUGGAUAUAAUAUGUGGUACUAUACGUAAAAGUUGGAGUUAGUGAAGUAUAUUAAAAUAGGAUUUUUUUUUUAGAACUACAUAUUUAUAGAUAAAAAAUAGAUGUUAGCAAAUAUAUAUACAACUAUAGUAAAGAAAGGACUGAAAAUUAAUAUGUAAUUUGAUAAAAACUAUGUAUCAUAAAAUAAAACCAUUUUAAAGAAAUAAAUCCCAUUGGAUUGAUAUAAUAAUAUGAAAUAAUGAUAAUGAUAUAAAACGUUAAAAAAUAUAAAUACGUAAUAAUAAAAGAGUAAAUAAAUAUAAAUAAGUGUAAUAAUAGUACCAAUAAUAAUAAUAGUAACAGUACUAAUAACAAUAAUAAUAUAAAUAAAAUAAUAUUAAACAGUUAAUUUUACAAGAAAAAAUAAAAAUAGAUAAAAUAGCACUGACAACAGAGAAGGACUAAAUUAAGCUUGAAAAUAAAAGUUUGAGGCAAAUCUAGAAAUAAAUGAAAAAGGGAUCGCGCUGAACACGCGAACAACGGGGAAAGACCAAAAUGGGAAAUAAUCCCAGCCUUCCAGAAUGUUGAGUUUUGCGCGGACCAGAUUGGAACAAAAAAUAAAAUGCGUGGCCAUAUUUAAAGGGAACAAAAGAUCGAUUUGAACUCAAUAUGGAAUACAGGGGACCAUUUGCGUAAAUUUCCCACGCGUUAUAAAACACGCAGAUCCGGGACCGGAUCGGGGCGGGUCGCGUGCUGGUCGUGCAAAACAGAGCCGUUUCAGCACUGAAACUCCCAGGUGAAACGACGUCGUUUCAAUAGCAAUAUAAAAGUUAAAAUUUUCCAAAAUAGACUCAUUUUCUCCUUGUUUCAGAAAAAAACAUUGGGGGUUCUCUCAAGUCCCAUUUCUCCAGCCCUAAACUUCGGCCAAAGUCUGGCCACUAGCCACCGUACCGGUCGUCGAUCGUCGGCAUUAGCGCCGCCGCGCACGGUGGUCGGCGAGGGAAAAAAGUUUUUUUUUUUAAUUUUUCAGCCCCCUAGACUCAAAUCCAACCACAAAACACCCAAAAACGUAAUAAAAAGGGACUAACAACCCUCUCAACGACGAGUUUUGCCACUAAAGAAGGGACCUUCUGACGAUCAAGGCGCGGCGUAACUCCGGUGAGUCCCUUCCCCUUUUUCUUAUUUUCGAACAACAAAAAGAAAGAAAGAAUAAAAAAAAGGAUUGAAAUCGAAAAUAAUCACCUUAAAAAAAACUUUCUAUUUUUGAUUAAUUUUUAUAUAUUUCGAAUCAAUGUGUGCGUAAAAAACUGUUACAACGAGAAUACUUUGGCUUUUAUAGCCAAAUUACAACCGUUUGAUCUUCAUCUUUUUGUUUUUUUUUUUGCUCUUUAUUUUGCUGGAUUCUUCUGUUGCUUUGCAUUGAUUUCUCUCUGCAGGUGUCAGAGGCGUGCGAUGCGCAUGGAGGUGACGGGCGGCGAUGGCAGUGUCAGAGGUGGCAGAGGCUUGCGGCGCACCUAGGGUUUCUGCCUCUCCCUCUUGCUGAAAAUUAGUUUAGGUUUUGGGCCAUUUGGGCUUUAAGGUUUUGAUUUGUUUGGGCUGUAAUUGGGUUUGUAAUUUAGCUGAUAAUUUGGAUUGUUUGGAUUAUUUAUUUUUUUGGUUUUAUUUCUGUUUAUUUUUGGGUUUUGGGCUUGGGGAAAAUUUGAUUAUUACAGAGAUAUUGAAGAUGGUAGAGGGAAUUGAACCUGAAAUCUGGUUUUCAAACAAAUACAAGACCUCUAGCUUUGACAAAUAGGCUAAAGAGAAUGGAAUAACACCUUUGAAGUUGUUUUGGUACAAAAACAACCUUCGAAGUUCAGUUAAUGAUCCCAACCAUGAUGGGAUUUCUCCACUGAAGGUGUUGUUACCAAAGCUUAAAUAUUUCAGCCGUCGCAAAUUGGAUAACUAGACAGGUAAUCUGCCAUAAAAACUAUUGUUUGUGACAUAAAGAAGAGAAAGGAAUGACAAAUUUCCCAAGUGAGGUUGAAGGGUGCCUACGAGUCCCAACUGUUAGAGUUAUUAAUAAAAUAGUCAAAGCUAUUACUAAGUCAGUUAGCAGUUAAGCUAUUACUAAGUCCGUUAGCAGUUAGAAAGUUAGCUGUAAUGUCAGUAAGCUUUAGCUUACGUGCUUGUAUAAAUACAUGUGAGGUCUGCAUGUUUUAAGUGACCUAAUGAAAAUAAUUCUCUUCUUGAUUCUUUCAUUUUCUUAGUUUCUUGUAGUUUUACAUGGUAUCAGAUGUAAGUUUUUCCAGGCAUUUUUUCUUCUUCUUUCGUUAAUCCGCUGUGCAGUCUGCAUAGUCAAUAUGGCCUUCAAUUCUUCUGACGGAGCUAUUGACAGUCGGUUCUUUUCUACAAAGAGGAUUAGUGUUCUUCUUGACGAUAAUACCUAUUUACUGUGGCGUCAGCAGGUUCUCUUGGCUAUAAAAGCGCAUAAACUUCAAAACUUCUUGGACCCUCAACAAGAUCCUCCCACUCAGUUUCUUGCCGAUGGUAGUGGUGGUUUUCAUGAGAAUCCAGAGUUUGCACAUUUUGAGCAACAAGAUAGUGCAUUUGCAUCGUGGUUGUUAUCUUCUAUUAGCCAAACGGUGCUUCCUCAUCUUAUUGGUAUGGAUACCAGUGCCAAGAUUUGGAAUGCAGUUGUUACUUGUUACCUUGUUUGGUAGUAAAACCACCUCUAAACUGAUCUCCUGUCGAAGAGCUUUGCAUUCUCAACGCAAGGGCAACUUGAGCAUGAAGGAGUUCUUGAUGAAUGUUAAAAGUUGCUGUGAUAAUCUCGCUAGUUGCGGUGAAGUCAUCAGCGAGCAUGAGCAUGUUACUGCAAUACUCAAUGGUCUUCUUCCAGAAUAUAAACCUGUCAUCACCAUUGUUACAGCAAGUCAAGUGCCCUACACAGUACAAGGUGUAACUUCCAUGCUUCUCGAUACUGAAGCUCGACAGCAGGUGAUGAGUUGUAAAGUCUCCAGUUCUGCAAACUUGGUGUCUUACCAGUCUUCUGAGUCUUCCGAUACUACUGGUUCAAUACCUGCUUAUCGACAGUCAUCUGCAACUCGGGGACGUCGGUGAGGGCGUUCGUCCAACACGAGGAUUCAAUGUCAGCUAUGUGGGAAAGCUGGUCACCUUGUUGACCGUUGUUACUAUCGGCUCACUUGUCCAUACACGUCAGCUUAAAAUGGACUUGUUGAAUUAAAACACCGACAGGUAGUUGAAACCGGCCUGUCCAUGUUAGCUCAUCCAACCAUGCCUUUGAUGUUCUGGAAUGAAGCCUUUUGCAGUGCCGUGUUUCUGAUUAACAGAUUACCCUCCCAUCCCUUGGGUGAUAUAUCACUAUAUGAAAAAUUGUUUAAAACAAAACCAAAUUACUCUUUCCUUCGAACUUUUGGCUGCUUAUGCUUUCCUAAUCUUAGACCUUUCAAUAAAACAAAGCUACAGUUUAUAUCUAUUCCUUGUGUCUUUCUCGGCUAUUACCCAUUGUACAAAGGUUACAAAUGUAGAGACCCUAUUGGUAGAAUCUAUAUUACUCGUCAUGUCACAUUUAAUGAGGCCAUUUUUUCCUACAAAAUGCAUAGUUCAACAGUCAUCCCAUCUACUGCUGUUCCACAGGUCAAUACAAAACUUCUUGUCCUACAUCCUAGCACUGUAUCUUGUAAUAGCAUCCCACCUAAUGUUAUUUCUACUAAUCCCUCUUCAACACCCACUUCACAGUCCACCUAUCCUAUUUUAGCUCAAACAUCACCUGCUUCACCUACGUUAUCUAGAUCCUCUUCACCUCCACAAUUGCAACCCUCCCAAUCCGCCCCGAUCAACACUCAUUCCAUGAUCACCAGGAGUAAGGUUGGAAUUUUCAAGCCAAAGGCUUAUUUGAGCACGACAUCUUCUUCUCCUAGUGAUGUUUCCUCUAACAUACAUGCAACGAUGGCGUUUGAAUGCUGGCGAAUAGCGGUUCACAGUGAAUUGCAAGCUUUGGUUCGUAAUAAUAUGUGGACUCUUUGUUCUCUCCCUGAAAAUGGACGAGCAGUCGGGUACAAGUGGCUCUUUAAAAUUAAAAGGAAGGCUGAUGGGUCCAUCGACAGGUACAAAGCAAGAUUAGUUGCGAAAGGGUUCUCUCAACAUACAGGGCUUGACUUUCAUGACACAUUUAGUCCACUAGUUCAAGCUUCCACCAUUCGCACUAUUCUUGCGUUAGCUGUUAUGCAGGGGUAGGCAAUGCGUCAAGUUGACAUCAAUAACACCUUUCUUAAUGGUGAGCUUACUGAAGAAAUAUACAUAGAGCAACCCUCUGGUUUUGAAGUCUCAGGUGCCUCUGGUCAGCCACUUGUGUGCAAAUUGAAUACAGCACUCUAUGGCUUGCGACAAGCCCCUCGUGCAUUCGAGUGUCUACAGGGAAUUACCUGCUUCUCAUGGUUUAUUUCGAUGACAUUGUGCUCACUGGUAGUAGUGUUCAAGAUAUAGAUGCUGUGGUACAUCAUCUUCAUAACAAAUUUGCUCUUAAGGAUAUGGGAACUCUCAGUUUUUUUUUGAGAAUUGAUGUCCAACGUACGUCCCAAGGAAUGUUGCUCAAUCAGAAGAAGUAUGUCACUGAGCUUCUUCUCAAAACUGGUAUGAUCGGGGCCAGGGAUUUAAAUUGCGGUCGCGGUCGCGUUUUCGGUCGCAUUGCGUUUAUCGCGGUUGCGGACAUAACGGAUGCUAUUGCGGUCAUUGCAGGUAUCGCGGUCGUGAAUUUUACAUUACUUAUUGUGUAUUGCGGGUAUAGCGGGUUUCGGCAGUAGCGGUUUCGGACGGUGCCGUUACCGCUAUAUAACGGCCGCUAUUUCGGUAACGGACCGCUAUUUAAAUCCCUGAUCGGGGCAGCUUCUACACCGACACCCAUAGUAAGCACUCCCAAGUUAGUUGCUUCAGAUGGCAGUCCUAUUUUUCCAAAUGUUCAUUUGUACCGAAGUACAAUGGGUAUGCUUCAAUAUAUAUGUAUUACACAACCCGAUUUGUUGUUCUGUGUAAACAAGCUUAGCCAGUACAUAAGUUCCCCCAGUGUCACUCAUUGGAAAGCUGUCAAACGUGUUUUAAGGUAUCUGGCUGGCACCAUAGAUCAUGGUUUGUAUUUUGCAGCAGGUCCAUUAGAGCUGGUGUGUUACUCUGAUACUGACUGGGCCUCAUCCAUUGAAGAUCGACGGUCUACGUCGGGAUAUGUGGUAUACUUAGGAUCAAAUCCUGUUACCUGGUGCUCAAAGAAACAGUCGGUGGUAUCCAGGUCGUCUGCUGAAGCAGAGUAUCGUAGCCUAGCCAACUGUGUGUCUGAACUGCUGUGGAUUCAACAGCUGCUAAAUGAAGUUGGAGUACCUCUGUCUAAGUUGCCAAUCGUCUGGUGCGACAAUUCUUCUGCAGUUUCAGUAGCUGAAAAUCCCACGCAUCAUUCUAGGAUGAAGCAUGUGGAAAUAAAUCACCAUUUUGUUCGUGAGAAAGUUCUUGCUGGAAUCCUACAGGUCAAUUUUGUUCCCUUUGAUCAACAGAUUACAGAUGUCCUCACUAAACCAGUUACUCCUAAGCUGUUUUCAUCAUUUCGACAUGCUCUUCGAGUCUUGACGUUAAGUGAACUUAAUGAUAAAAAAUCAAACAUGCUAAGGGAAUGUUAGUUAUUAAUAAAAUAGUCAAAGCUGUUACUAAGUCAGUUAGCAGUUAAGCUGUUACUAAGUCAGUUAGCAGUUAGAAAGUUAGCUACAACGUUAGUCAGCUUUAGCUUACGUGCUUGUAUAAAUACAUGUGAGGUCUGCAUGUUUUAAGUGAUCUAAUGAAAACAAUUCUCUUCUUGAUUCUUUCAUUUUCUUAGUUUCUUGUAGUUUUACACCAACCCAGUAAGGUCUAGAGCUGUGACUCUACGGUGCUUGGAUCCACAACUUACACCAAACCAAUAGCAAACGGGGGAAGAGGCUGACCAAUUAGUUGUUAAGACAUUUUCAGGAUCAUGAUGAAUAACAUGAUCUCUUAGUGUUAGAAGAGUUGAUUGAUCUGUAAGUAUGGUGGUUAAUUUCAUAGAGAAAUUAGUAGGCAUAGAAAAAUGGAAGAUGAUAAGAAGAGCUAAGUUGAGGAAAGUAUUCCCUGCUUAUCGAGCUACCAACGAAGGCAGAACUGAAUGUUGUAAUUUAUUCUUGCAACAUUGCAAAUUCUUUGAAUGUGAUUUAGGUAGAAACUAUAGAAUUUAUUAUAGGAUGUGAUAAUAUGAUUAUGUAAUUAUUGCUUAAAAAACUUCUUUCUAAAUUUCAUAUAGUUGCACUAGUGCUAAGAUUACAACUUUUUUUAUUAAAUUAUUCUAGAUUAGUGAAAUUAUUAGACAACGUGAUAAUUUCUUAUCAGAUAGGAAGUGACAAGUGAGCAGUCACUUCCAAGAAUAUAAACAACUCAAUCACUCUCUUAACUAACGGUAUCAAACACUAAUUGUUGUUUCUAUUGACUAAAAGAAUUUUCAACCAAAAAUAUGUUGACUUAAAAUUAAAAUAAACCAUCAAAUUUCUUAGAACAUUCAAUGAGGUUGAAAGAUUUUAUUUUUAAUUUUUGUUAUUUUGGAAUAAUUUUUUUUCUUUAUAAUUUUACCAAAAAAUAUAUUUUAACUUUUUAUUUUUUUUAGUCAUUAAACUUACAUUGUUUGUCAAAUUAUCCCAAAAUAAAUGGAAAAAAUCAACGUUUGUUAACUUUGCUAAUGUGCCACAUGUGGAUUGUCACGGGAAUGUCAAGUUAGAAAUUAAUUCAUUUUUAAAAAUUUAAAAAUUUAGAAAAUAUUAUUAAUUUAUUUUUAAAAUACUAAAUUUAUUUAAAAAGUAUAAAAGUAUAAAAUUAUAAAAAAAUUUUUAUUUUUAAAAAUUAAUUAAUUGCUAACGUGGUACAUUAACUUUUUCAUUCAUUUUAGAUGAUUUGACAAACAAUACGAGUUUAAAAGUUAAAAGUGAUGGAAAAUUAAAUAAAAGGCUAAAAUGAAUUUUUAAAAAAAUAAAUUUGAAGCGCCAAAAAAUUCAUCAUCCUUUUUUUUUGUCCUAUCAAUACGCUUAACAACAUGCCACCAUAAUUUUGAUUUUCUCUGGUAAGUCUGUAUGCCAUAGGUUUUUUAGGAAAGCUUUGUUUGUAAUUUCAUUAGUAUCAUCAUCUAGACUAGAGGUCUCUUUCAGUAGCCUUCUGUAACCACUCCUCACAAUAUACUCUCUUGUUACCUCCCCAUUCCAUACCCUAUUUUCCUCUCGUGGAUGUCUCGCUAGAGGAAUUUGCAAGAUAGUUUCUACCUCUUCCCCUGUAAACAAAGAGGUAACAAGAUCCUCCUUCCUUUGUCUCAGAUUAGAUUCACUCAGCUCUUCCACCUUAAUUAUAUUGUGAUCUCAAACUAACUCCUGGAUUUUUUUAUCCUUCAACCCAAGGAUCCGAGCAUCCUGCCACUCUCCAAGCCAUUCCAUCCUAUAGUAGUUGCUUCGUCGCCCAUAAGCUCCUCCAAGUAUAAAAAGGAUAAUUACCUAACUUUGGUUGCAUGAACUCGACAUUGGGGAAUAUUUAGCUUUUAAAGUUCUAGCUAAUAACAAAUCAUGAUAAUUCAUUAAACUCCAACCCUAUUUUGCAAAGGCUAAAUUCAACUUGGAUAAAUUUUUAAACCUUAUUCCCCCAUCUUCAUUUAGUUCACACAAUUUAUUCCAAUUGCAUCAAUGAAUCCCCCUCUUUCCUUUUUGUUUCUGCCACCAAAAUCGAUUUAUAACCUGUUCCAUGUCAUGACAUAAAGAAUUCAGUGGUAAAAAACAAAACGUAGCAUAAGUCGGAAUUGAUUGCAGUACACUCUUAAUAAAAAAACUUCCUUCCCUCCCUAGGGAAGUAUUUUAACACACCAAUUAUUUGUUCGUUUUGCAAUCCUAUCUUUCAAGCCCUGAAAGGUCCUUCAUUUUUGCCUCCCCACAACAUUCAAGAGCCCCAAAGACUUCUCUGGAUCCAUCAAACAACGCACCCUUAAUAAUUGAGCUACUGAGUCCUUUGCAUAUGUAGAAUUAUUUGAACUAAAAAAUAGUGUUGAUUUCUCUAAGUUGAUACUUUGCCCUGAAUAUUCUUCAUACUUCUGCAAAAUCCUUCUAAUCUCAUUUGCUCGCUUUUCUGUAUCUUCACCAAACAAAAUAUAGUCAUUCGCAAAAAGCAAAUGAGUAAUCUCAAGACCCUUUCUACAUACCUUGACACCUUUUGUUCUCCCCUCCCCUUUCACCAUCCUCAUCAAUGUCAACAACCCCUCUCCACAAAUCAAGAAUAGAUAAGGACUUAGCGGAUCCCCUUGUCUAAGGUUAUAAUCUCCUUAACUUGGACUAGACGUUAUGACCAUAUUAAAAAGGCUACAUUAGACUCCAAAAUGACUAAACAGACUAUUUGACCUUUGAAAAUCCUUAACACACAACUAGUUUUAAAGAAAAUUGGUAUUGGUGAUCCAAGUUAGAUAAAACAUUUGUUUAUUGGGUUUUCUUACAAAAAAAAACCCUAAUUUUUUUUCUAACUUUAGAAAAGUCAUCACCCUUGAAAUUAAUUAACAUUAAAACAUUCAUUCAAUUAGGCCAUCUUUACUUAGAUUCUAUUUUAUUAUUGUUGUCAUGUUUUAGAAAACUAAUUGUUUUGAUAUUUUGUUUCACAAAAAUCAAAUCUUUAAAAUGUAGUGGAAAACUAUUAUUCAUAUCAUUUUAGAAAUCCAAUUGCCUUAUUGAUUUGUUUUUCAAAGCAGUUAAUUUGUAACACAAUGAAAAAUUGGUGAUCAAUGCCAAUUUUACUUAAGCCAUAUAUCAUGCAAUUAUUAGUUAUUAAACUUCAGUAAUAUAUGCAUGCACAAAAUCUCCCUCCCCUAAAAAAUAAUCAAGCCAUAGACUAGAGGAGUUCAUGGGCCGGGCCGGGCUCAAAAAAAUUUUGACCUGUCCUAAAAUAUGGGCUUAAAAUUUUGAUCCAGGUCCUACCUGAGAAAAAAUUUCUAAGCUCGGCCCAACCCAUUUUUAAUAAACAUCAAAAAAUUAUUUAAAAAAUAAAAAGUAUUUUAAAAUUUCUAAAAAAUAUAUAUAUUUAUUAUAUCGGGCCAAGCCGAGCUCGAGCCUAGGCCAAAAAAGUGGUACCCAAAGCCCAAUCUAUUUUCUAAACCAACUUUUUUUUAUCUAAACUCAUAUUUUAAAUCUAUAUAUUUACCUGAAUUCUCUCAUAUUUCGGGCGAAUCGUCCUGACAUGAGCACCUCUAGCUUUUAAGGACUUGAUUUUCAAUUUUUAACUUUUCCUUUGUUUUUCUUUCGUUCUGUUUAUAUGUCAGGUCUCCAAGAUGCCCUCCUUAUUUGGCUCUAACCCUUCAUCCUCCGAUCCUGCAAACGACACCGUGCCUUCCCCUUCCUCUUCUUGUUCCUCCUCCUCCUCUCCGGACAUGUGGAAUUACUUUUUUAUCCCUAUCCUCCUCCACCUCACCAAAAAACUCUCCCUUGCUAAAGCUCAAACCUCAACUGGACUCCUCCUCCCGAGUCAACGCGGCGACGGCUCGGCCGAUGAUUCACUAAUUUCCUUUUCGAGGUGCGCGAAUGCUGACCCGAAGCUAUAUUAUCGGCCUGUGAUUGGGAUACUGAGUCAUCCAGUAGGCGGCGCGUCGGGGGGCCGUUCCUACAUAGUUGCGUCGUACGUGAAGUUCGUGGAAGCGGCCGGGGGUCGAGUCAUUCCUCUUAUUUAUAAUGAGCCGGAAGAGAUUCUUUUCCAGGUAAUAAUCAUGAUGUUCAUUUCCUUGUAAAAAUGCUGAAUUUUGACUUUGAAUAUUUGCGUGUGUGUGUGUUUUUUAAAAUUCGGUUAAAAAAAAUGGACAGUCGUGAAUCUAUUUUUGGAAAGAAAAAUUCCUGAUUUAGAAUCUUAAAUAACUUUGAUACUGUGAAAUUUGAUACUGUGAAUUUUUAAUAUUUUGUUUCAUAAUAAGUUUUUCCUCUUAAUUAAAUGUAAGAAUAUAAAAAUGCUUGCUAUUCCCGCAUUUCAAAAAAUUCUCUCGUUUUUGUUAAAUCAUAAAAUUAGGAUACUACCAGUUGUUGCAAUCUCCUUACUGUCUAUGCAAAGGAUAGAAUUUUAGCUUAGUUGCAUUUUUGUGGAUAUUCUUUAGUACCUUAAUAUUUGAAAUGAUAUUUUGAUUGCAUAUGCAUAUGCAUAUGCAUAUGCCUUUCAUUCCCUUGCUUUUGAUUUGCUACGAUUAGACAGUGGUAUGAUGCUAUGAUACCCGCUUUAGCAUAGUUGUUGCCUUCCUUUGCCAAAAGCCUGUCACCUUGCUAAGUGUCUUCUCCACCUUCGUAUUGCAGAAGCUUGAAUUGGUUAAUGGCGUGCUUUUACCAGGAGGGCGGUCUAAAUCCGGCUUGUACUAUGAUAUUGCUGAAAAGAUUUUCAAGGUAAUUUAUAUUUAUAUUUGUUUGUUUCUUGAUUUUAUGAAAUUCACAUGAAACUAACAAAAAAAUAUAGGCAAGAGAUUGGUGUUAGCAUGCAAGUCUUUUGUUUCUUCAACUUAUGCUUCAAAUGUUUUUAUAUUUCCAAUUUUCCAUGGGUUGCAUAGAAAACUUUUAUUCUUUGUGUUUUUGCAGAAAGUUAUAGAGAAGAACGAUAGGGGAGAUCAUUUCCCGUUAUAUGCCAUUUGUUUGGGUUUUGAACUUUUAACAAUGAUUAUCAGCGAAGUAAGCACCUCACAUUAUCUGACAUUUUUUUUCUGUUUCCUUUUUAAAAAAAAAAGAAAAAAGAAAAACAAUUUAAUUUUCUUCAGGCUUUUAUCUGUUUAUAUGGCUUUUUUAUAUGGCUUUUCUUGAUGUAGUUAACUUUUGUUCACUAUUGUGGACUUUCUCUACUAAUAUUCAUUCAUGCGUCAUGGCAGAAUGACCAAAUGAGACGUUUUUAAAUUUCUUGAUUUAAGGAACUCUAUAAUUUCCAUUUGUGAGAGAUUACUGUUGGCCUAACAUGGCUAAAUAAUGGCAAUUCCUGCAUGUUCACCGUAUUGUGGAAACUGCAGUAUUUGAUCCGUUAGGAUGGCAUGGUUACCUUGUUUGUGGCAUCCAAACCAAUGGUUGACCUUGCUGGAAAACAUUUUCUAAUGGAUUUGAAAUCUCAAAAUCUUAUCUACUGGUUCUUUAGAAAUCACUUCAUUUCAAGUUAGCUUAAACCUACCCAUGUCUACUGUAUCCAAUAACUUAUUUUACUUAAGGAUUUUCUUUGUUGAAUUAUAAAAAAUUUGACAAAAUCUUAUUUUAAUGAAUACAUACUUUUUUUCUUCUUGCUGAUAGUGUUAACAUUAAUGGGAGACAACAUUAAUGGCAAACAAUACAAAGUGGUGCAAGUUUAGCACCCUAAAGUUGACUUUGAAAAAGUGGCAUGGGAUAAUUUUUUUUGGUCCUUGAGAUAAUGGGCUAUUUAUUGUUUGGUCCUUAAACCUCAACUAUAAAUAAGCCUUUUCAUUUCUUAUUUCAAUUCAUCCCAACCAAUCUUUCUCUCUUAGUUUUCUCUCUUCUCCCAUUUGAGAAUUCUUAAGGAAUUCUAUUUGUUUGUAAUACUUUGAAGAUAGUAAAGUUAUCAUCUGGUGUUAGUGCCCGAGGACGUAGGUAUAAUUUACCGAACCUCGUUAAAACUCUUGUGUUCUUUCUUGUCCUAUUUUUCUUUCAAUAUUUGAGGGUAUAAUAGUAGUAUUUAAUUGUGCUAUUAAAUUACUAUAGAAGGGAUAUUCUGUCUAAGGAAAGACUUGGUAUUUAAGAGAUCCAUGUGAUCCACCUCUCUUUCCUGGGAAUUGAACUUUGUGUGAUUUUUUAGUACAAUAAUUUACACGUUUUCGACCCUAUUGGAACAACAAGUGGUAUCAAGAGCCGAAGGUUAAUCGUAGUAUGCUCUGUGGUUGCAGUUUAAACUGAUCUUCCACAUCAGAAAAGAUUUCCUUAGGUAUAUUGAAAGAUUAUGGAGAAAACGGUCGGUGUAGGAGCUUCAACAUCGUCCAUGUGGACAAGACCGACAAUUGCAAAUGCAAGAUUGGCCGUGGAGAUCUUUGAUGGCACGGGCCAUUUUGGUAUGUGGCAAAGUGAGGUUCUAGAUGCCCUUUUUCAGCAGGGUCUAGACAUUGCCAUUGAUGAAGAGAAACCAGAUGAUGUACAGGAGAAAGAUUGGAAGGCGAUCAAUCGGUUGGCAUGUGGCACAAUUCGAUCAUGCCUUUCUCGAGAGCAGAGGUAUGCUUUUUCAAAGGAGACUUCUGCAAAUAAGUUGUGGGUGGCACUUGAAGAAAAAUUUUUGAAGAAAAACAGUCAAAAUAAGCUCCACUUGAAGAAAAGACUGUUUCGCUUCACAUACGUCCCAAGUACCACAAUGAAUGAUCACAUCACCAAAUUCAAUCAGUUAGUCACUGAUUUGCUGAAUAUGGAUGAGACAUUCAAAGAUGAAGAUUUGGCUUUGAUGCUGUUGGGGUCACUUCCUGAGGAGUUUGAGUUCCUAGAAACUACUCUACUUCAUGGCAGGAGUGAUAUAUCUCUGAGCGAAGUCUGUGCGGCCUUAUACAGUUGUGAACAGAGAAAGAAGGACAAACAGAAAAACUCAAUCAGAGAUACAGAAGCUUUAGUAGUCCGAGGUCGUUCAUACACUCGGAAGAAAACUCAAAAGGGGAGAUCAAAGUCAAAGUCCAGACUCGGGAAAGAUGAAUGUGCUUUUUGUCAUGAGAAAGGCCACUGGAAGAAAAAUUGUCCAAAGCUGAAGAAUAAGGGAAAAGCUGCUGUAGAUGCUUGUGUUGCUAAGCAUGAUACUAGUGACUCUGAACUAUCACUGGUUGCAUCAUCAUCGUCGUUCCAUUCAGAUGAGUUGAUAUUGGAUUCGGGUUGUACCUAUCAUAUGUCCCCUAACCGGGAGUGGUUCUCUGAUUUAGUAGAACUAAAUGGAGGAGUUGUUUAUAUGGGCAAUGACAAUGCUUGUAAAACUGUUGGAAUAGGUUCAAUCCAAUUAAAGAAUCAAGAUGGAUCAACCAGAGUUCUGACUGAUGUUCGGUACGUGCCCAGUUUGAAGAAAAAUCUCAUCUCAUUGGGAGCAUUGAAAUCCAAUGGUUCAGUUGUUACUAUGAGAGAUGAGAUUUUGAAAGUGACAUCUGGCGCACUUGUGAUAUUGAAGGGCAUCAGGAAAAAUAACUUGUAUUACUACCAAGGUAGUACAGUUAUUAGAGCAGUCGCUACAGCUUCCGGUAACAAAGAAUUGGACUCAAUGCAGUUGUGGCAUAUGAAGUUGGGACAUGCCAGCGAAAAAUCCUUGCAAAUUCUGGCAAAGCAAGGAUUGUUGAAAGGUGCAAAGGCUUGCAAAUUAAAAUUUUGCGAGCAUUGUGUUCUGGGAAAGCAAAAGAGAGUGAAAUUCGGUACUGCUAUCCAUAAUACAAAAGGUAUUUUGGAAUAUGUUCACUCAGAUGUGUGGGGGCCUUCCAAGACACCUUCCUUGGGAGGAAAACACUACUUUGUUACUUUUGUUGAUGACUUUUUCAGAAGAGUUUGGGUGUAUACCAUGAGAACUAAGGAUGAAGUGUUUAGAGUUUUUCUUAAAUGGAAAACUAUGAUCGAAAACCAGACUAGCAAGAAAAUCAAGCGGCUUAGGACGGACAAUGGAGGGGAAUAUAAAAGUGAUCCGUUCUUCAAUGUGUGCCAAGAGUAUGGUAUUGUUCGACACUUCACAGUUAGGGAUACACCACAGCAGAAUGGAUUGGCAGAGCGUAUGAAUCGAACAUUGCUGGAGAAAGUUCAAUGUAUGUUGUCCAAUGCUGGAUUGGGCAAGCAAUUUUGGGCUGAGGCUGUGACAUACGCUGGCCAUCUUGUUAAUCGUUUGCCAUCAUCUGCAUUAGAAAGAAAAACUCCUAUGGAGGUAUGGUCUGGAAAACCGGCUACAGAUUAUGAUUCCUUACAUGUGUUUGGAACCACUGCAUAUUACCAUGUGAAGGAGUCAAAGUUAGAUCCGAGGGCAAAGAAAGCUCUCUUUAUGGGAAUCACUUUUGGAGUGAAGGGAUUUCGUCUUUGGUGCUUAAGCACAAAGAAAAUGAUCUGUAGCAGAGAUGUUACCUUUGAUGAAUCUGCCACAUUGAAAAAGGUAGCAGAUAAAGAUAUUCAGACGAGCAAUACUCCACAGCAGGUGGAGUGUACUCCAAAACAGGUGGAGUUUGAGCAGAUGGGGAUUUGCCCAGUUAAUAAGUCUAAUUCUCCAGCCACAAUGGAGGAAUUAGAGGUUGAAGAGGUUCUGACCCAAGAACCACUAAGUACACCAGAACCAGUUGCAGUUGUAAGGCCACGGAGAGAAAUUCGUAAACCUGCUCGAUUUACUGAUAUGGUGGCCUACGCCCUUCCCGUUGUUGAUGAUAUUCCUAUCACUUAUCAAGAAGCAAUGCAAAGCUUAGAAAGUGAUAAAUGGAAAAGCGCCAUGGAUGAUGAAAUGCAGUAUCUCCGGAAGAACAAUACUUGGGAGUUGGCGUAAUUACCGAAAGGUAAAAGGGCAAUCGGAUGCAAGUGGGUAUUCGCAAAGAAAGAUGGAUCUCCUAGCAAGAAGGAUAUUCGCUAUAAGGCAAGAUUGGUAGCUAAAGGCUACGCUCAGAAGGAGGGAAUUGACUACAAUGAUAUAUUUUCCCCUGUUGUGAAGCAUUCCUCCAUUAGAAUUUUGUUGGCUUUGGUAGCACAGUUGAAUUUGGAGCUAGCUCAACUUGAUGUUAAGACGGCUUUCUUGCAUGGUGAGUUAGAAGAGGAGAUCUAUAUGACUCAGCCCGAAGGAUACACAGAUGCUGGUGGUAGAAAUUGGGUUUGUAAGCUGAACAAAUCGCUAUAUGGAUUGAAGCAAUCCCCGAGGCAGUGGUACAAGCGAUUUGAUAGCUUUAUGAGAAGGCAGAAGUACACAAGAAGCAAAUAUGACAAUUGUGUAUAUUUGCAGAAGCUGCAUGACGAAUCUUUCAUUUAUCUACUCUUGUAUGUUGAUGAUAUGUUAAUCGCUUCGAAGAGCCAAAAUGAGAUAGAUAAGCUGAAGGCUCAGUUGAAUCAAGAGUUCGAGAUGAAAGAUCUAGGUGAGGCCAAGAAGAUUCUCGGCAUGGAGAUAAGUAGAGAUAGACCGAGAGGCAAGCUCUGUUUAAAUCAGAAGCAAUAUCUGAAAAAGGUAUUACAAUGUUUUGGUGUAAAUGAAAACACAAAACAUGUAAGUACCCCACUUGCUUCUCAUUUGAAACUUAGUGCUCAAUUAUCUUCGAAGACUGAAGAUGAAAGAGAAUAUAUGGCGAAAGUCCCAUAUGCUAAUGCAGUUGGGAGUUUGAUGUAUGCGAUGGUGUGUACGAGGCCUGAUAUUUCACAAGCUGUUGGAGUUGUGAGCAGGUAUAUGCAUGAUCCUGGAAAAGGACAUUGGCAAGCAGUGAAAUGGAUUCUACAGUAUCUUCGAAAAACCGUAGAUGUUGGUUUAAUUUUUGAACAGGAUGAAGCACUUGGUCAGUUUGUAGUUGGAUAUGUUGAUUCCGACUUUGCUGGUGAUUUAGAUAAACGUCGUUCAACUACGGGGUAUCUGUUUACUCUUGCGAAAGCCUCAGUGAGUUGGAAGUCUACCUUACAGUCUACAGUAGUUGUGUCUACUACAGAGGCAGAAUAUAUGGCAGUUACAGAAGCUGUUAAGGAGGCUAUUUGGCUUAAUGGAUUGUUGAAAGACUUAGGAGUUGUUCAAAGUCACAUAAGUUUAUAUUGUGACAGUCAGAGCGCUAUUCAUUUAGCGAAAAAUCAAGUCUAUCAUUCAAAAACCAAGCAUAUCGACGUAAGAUAUCACUUUGUGCGGGAAGUCUUUGAAAAAGGAAAAAUUCUACUUCAGAAGAUUCCGACAGCAGAUAAUCUCGCAGAUAUGAUGACCAAGGUGGUAACAACAAUCAAGUUUAAUCAUUGUUUGAACUUGAUUAACAUCCUAAGAAUUUGAGCACCUUCAGGUGUAUGGCGCUCGAGAGUGCAUUUGUAGGCACUACAAAAGAUAGCUUUAUCGAAUUUGGGGAGUUGAAGGAAGUGUGUGAAGAUGUGAUUAUCCUAAUCAAAUCUUCAAGGUGGAGAUUGUUAACAUUAAUGGGAGACAAUAUUAAUGGCAAACAAUACAAAGUGGUGCAAGUUUAGCACCCUAAAGUUGACUUUGAAAAAGUGGCAUGAGAUAAUUUUUUUGGUCCUUGAGAUAAUGGGCUAUUUAUUGUUUGGUCCUUUAACCUCAACUAUAAAUAGGCCUUCUCAUUUCUCAUUUCAAUUCAUCCCAACCAAUCUUUCUCUCUUAGUUUUCUCUCUUCUCCCAUUUGAGAAUUCUUAAGGAAUUCUAUUUGUUUGUAAUACUUUGAAGAUAGUAAAGUUAUCAUCUAGUGUUAGUGCCCGAGGACGUAGGUAUAAUUUACCGAACCUCGUUAAAACUCUUGUGUUCUUUCUUGUCCUAUUUUUCUUUCAAUAUUUGAGGGUAUAAUAGUAGUAUUUAAUUGUGCUAUUAAAUUACUAUAGAAGAGAUAUUCUGUCUAAGGAAAGACUUGGUAUUUAAGAGAUCCAUGUGAUCCACCUCUCUUUCCUGGGAAUUGAACUUUGUGUGAUUUUUUAGUACAAUAAUUUACACGCUUCCGACCCUAUUGGAACAACAGAUAGGACAAAAAAAUUCUUGAACGAUUUUCUGCAUUAAAUCGGGCCUCUAGUCUCCAAUUUGUGGAAAAUGUUAAUAUUGAAGGAACAGUAUUUCAAAGGUGCAAAACCUUUAUUACCUUUCAUGGUACAUUAGUAUUGUUUGAUUUUGGUGCCAUUUUUCUAUUGAUGCUUUUGCUCAGAUUUUACAUUAUUAUCCUUGGAGGAUUAAGUAUUUUAUAUUUCAAAUAUGUUUUGCUGGUCAGGCAUUAGAUGAUUUAUAGGAAAGUUCACAACAGUUAACGUGUUGAAGUAACGAAAGCCUCUCUGUAUGCGCUGCUAAUAAGGGAAAGAGUCUUGUAAUACAUAUGCAGUUUAUGUUCUGUCAGACUGAUCUCUCCAUUUCACUAUUUGAAUAAGAACUUUGUUGCAUGAGGAUAGAGAAAAGGAAGUCAACUAGUUGCUUGAGAUUUCCUGAAGUUGUUCUUCAGGUUAAAUGAUGACCAUAGCAUAAUAUUUGGUGUGAAACUUUGGUACUAUGGGCUUACCACUUUUCUUGUUAGCUUUUGCUUGCACCAUAGGCACAUGGCAAUGAAUUGGUAUGGUAACCAGACUUCACAUGAAGCUUUUAGUGUAGACCAUAAACAAGUUUAACACUUAAAUAGGAAGAGAAUAGAUGUGUGCUUGUUUAGCUUCCUGAUUAGUGUCAUUGAAUUUGUUCUUAGUUGAUUGAGGAGAGUGUAAUAAACCCUUCUCUGAACUUCAGAGUUACACCUUUGAUAAAUAGCAAUAGCUGAGCACAGCAAUAAACAUUAAUUGCCUGUUUGCUUUAUCAUCAAAAGGCUUUAUGAAUGUUGUAGGUAUAUCCAUUUAUAAUAUCUAACCUUUCAAUCAGUAGUAAAAAUGAGGUGAUUUUAAGCUGAUAAUUUGUAGUUUGGUCCAAGUUAGUAGCAGAACAAUAUUGUCAUAAACUUUCUACUUAGCCCAACCUGGUUGACAUCUUUUAUUCGAGAGCUUUUCUUAUAGUCAGUGUAAUUAUAUGUUCAUUGCUCCAGUCAGUGCCACACUUCUACAGCUUGAUAGUUAUUCUCUUUUGCCAGAUUUCCUCCAAAUUUGCUGCAAAAGCUUGGCACAGAUCGCCUAGUCAUGCAAAACCAUUGUGUGAGUUUCAUGGCUCCUUUCAUUUAUAUUUUAAAUUAGUUGCACGUGUAAGUGUUUGUCUUUUGCUUCUCUAGUAUGUCCGCUUUGGAUCAUUCCUAAAACCUUGAACUGAUAAUGAAGGAUCUAAAUUCUGAUUUAUUCAAUGUUUUCAUUUUUUUUUCAAUUUUUGUUGCCACUGGUUGCCUGUUUCCUCUAUUUGGCACUUUUAACAGCUUCCUACUUGUUAGCUUGUGCAGAUUAUUAUUUGAGAGAUGAAAUGUAUUUUAAUGCACAGUAAAUUGUUCAUGCGUUCUGUUCUCCUAAUAUGUAAUUUGAUUUCCUUGAACCUCAUUCUUGGUCUCUAAAAGCCUAACUUAGAAGAAAACUCAACAGGCAAGAUGUCGUGCUAAGAGUAGAGACCUGUCAAAGAAGAAAAAUGCUAAUAUUUCUUCAGAGUUAAGGAUAAUAUAUCCCUAUUCAAAAGUUAUCUUUCUUUCAUGUGCGUAUUAAGAGAAUCCUUGCCGCCCUCCUUUGUGGCACAUUGUCUGUGUUAUGUUUCUAUGUACAAGCUAAUUAGCAUUGCCUAAAAUCAAUGUCUAAUUGUAACAGUGGGGCAUUUCACCAGAGAAGCUUCAAAAUACUCCAAAUCUGUCCAGAUUCUUCAAGAUCUUAACAACAAGCACAGAUAAAAAUAACAAGGUUCUGAAUCUUACAAUCCCUAUGCCAUAGGAAGUGUCUUAACUUGAUUUAUCUCAUUACAUUUUAUGGCUGCUGUAAAUGUCCUUAUUUCUAUUUAAGUGUUAAUAACAGGUAUAUGUCUCCACUGCACAAGCACAUCGCUAUCCUGUCACUGCCUUCCAGUGGCAUCCAGAGGUACCUCUUUUAGUGCUUUCUGAUCAUCGUCAUGUUUAUGCCUCAGUACAGUUUGGCAUGGCAAUUUUAAUUUUUCUUGUUAAAUAAUAAUCAUAUCAAUGACCACUACAAGGAAUUGGUGUCCUUUUUUUCCCUAUUAACUUCUUUGUGUAUCUCUGCUUCUGUUUCUCUUACUCCUUUUAAUUUUGUUUGCAAAACUGUAGUGUUAUUCUAUGAUCCACUAAUACACUCCAUUUCAUUAUGAAUAGUCUGACCAUAUAUUUUGCAGAAAAAUGCUUUUGAAUCGGGCUUGUCUAUGAUUCCACACUCAGACGACGCCAUUGAAGUGACACAACAUGUUGCAAACUUUUUCAUCAGGUUAGGAAUGUUAAGUAAGGAAGUUAUUAAUAGUUCUCUAUAUUCUUACAAUUUAGUCAACGACAAACUGAGCGAAUGUUAUAUUCGAGUGAGACACAAUCUUGCUCUUCAGCAUAUUAUUUGGGUUUUGGGCAGCUGUUCCUAUGUGGAUAUGCUUUGCUUCGUCCUAGAGCAUAUGUAAGGAAGAAAUGUUUAAAGGAACUUAGAUAAAUUUUAGGAUAUAAACAAUAUAAGAAUAUAAAUAGUUUAGCAUGAAAGGAGAAGGAAAGGAAAUAGGCAAAAUUCAUUUUCAGCAUGCUAUACUACAAGUAGUUUUUCUGGCUGAGAAUGAAAUGCCCGUGGUUUUAUGAAUAUAAGAAAGAGGAAAGGAAAGAAAAUGCGUAUUUCUAAUUAUGUGACAGACUAGAGGUGAGGUAUUUGUGUUCGCGGCAUAAGAAUUUGAGUUCAAACCCUAACAUUGUUUCGCCCUACCAAAUUAUAAAAAAUAAAUACCAUCUCUUUCCUUCGUCUGUUUGGAAGAUGAGGUAAUUGAACUUUUCUUUUUUCUGGUACAGAGAGGCUAGGAGAUCACUGAAUAGGCCAGCUGCUCAAAAAGUGCGUGACAGCCUUAUUUAUAAUUACAGGCCCAAGUAUUAUGGGAAAGCUGGGUAAGCUGAUAUCAAUCCUUUUGAGUUUUGACACUAUUAGGACACCAUCCUCUUGAAUGUAAGCUGAUUGACAUGGUUGUGAAUUUGAAUGCUGUAGGAAGGGUUUCGAUCAGGUCUACAUCUUUACACAACGUCAAGCUCGAAAUUGAUAGAGUUGCGGCCGUGUACAUAGUUAAAGAUGUAUGUGGUUGGAUGUAUGUAUAUUGUUGACGCUGUAUUUGCAUUGUGAUUUGUAUCUGAUUGCUCUCUUAAUUUAUAUAAGCUACGGACUGGAUGCUUGCCAAUGAGGUGUAUGAGUAGUUAUUGUUGAUGAACAAAGUUUGCAAUGCUUAUUCUUAUUAGCUCAAAUUCUAAAAAUGAUAAUGAUUAAAGUAUAAUCUGUUACUUGUGUUAUAAAUAAGCUUGAAUACUUUACCAUAGAAAUAGGGUUUAAGCUUAAAAAUACAUUCUUUUUGUGUGAGAUAAAUAUAAAAAGAACUGGAUUUGUAUUUGAUGCGGUUUAUGACAUGCUAUUGAAAAUAAGUGUAAAUUACAUAAAUGUCAAUCGACUAUUAUAAUUUUUGUUAGAUUAUUCGAAUUUAAAAAGUUUCAAAAUAAUCAUUUAAUUUAUUAAAUUUAUUAUAUCCAAAACUGUUAUAAAUUAGUAACAGUCGAAUGGUGUGUUGUUAACUUAAUGAUAUGUUUUUUUAACCCAUUAACUUUUUUUCACAUUAUUUCCAUGUCAUAUUAUAAUUUAAAAAAAAAACUAAUUUAAACUCCAAAAUUCCAAUAUGACAUGGAAAUGUGGAAUAAAAUUAAUGAUUAAAAAGACAUAUCGUUAACAGCCACGUCAGCAGAUUAUUAGUAAUUUAACAGUUUUGAACUUAAAAAAAAUGAUUUUGAUAGUCUGAUAAUCAUUUUAUAAUUUUUAAAAAUCAAAUAAUUUAAAUAUAUAUAUAAUAAUCGGAUAGCCAUUUAUUAUGUAGUUUGCCAAAGUAUUUUAUCAAUUGGAAGAUGAAGCAGUAAACCAAUAAAUAUGUUGAAUAGUCUCCAAUUAAACCAUUUAAGAUAUAAAUCCCAAUAAGUUCAAUUAAUGGCUCUAAUCAACUUUACAAGAAAUAGUUCUUGACAAUUUGAAGGGUGAAUAAUGAAUUUUCAGAACUCUUUAAAGAAAAUCGAGAAGAAAACUACUUUUAAGAAUCAGAAGAAAAAAAUCUUACACAAAAAAACUAACUCUAAACACCUAAAGUACAUCUAAAUAAAACUCUAAUUAAUCUAAAUAGGGGUGAAGCCAUAAAUUUUUUAGGGAGCCAAAAUUAAAUUGUAAUUUCUACAAUAGUAAAAAUGUAAUUUCACCAUUUUAAUAACUUAUAUCUUUAUAAUUUUUAAAGGGUUAAAUCAAAUUUUUAUUAUUUUUAGGGGUCAUAAAGUGUAAUUUUACAUUUAUUAAUUUAAAUUUUUUAAAAUUUUAAAGGGUCUAAAUGAUUUUUUUUUUCAUUUUAAGGGAGUCAAUGCCUUGUCAUCUCCUAGCUAGCGUUUGAAUCUAAAUAAAAAAUAGUUUUAAACUAAAUUUUCUUAUUUAACUCAAAAUACUUGGCCUGCAAUAAUUUUUCUUGACAAAAAGAUCCUCCAAAUAUUAUUUAUAAAUUUGUAUUUGAUACGUUGAUAGUGUUUUUUUUAUUCUAUAAAUAGUUUUAAAAUUUUAUCAUAUAUCUAUUUUAAAAAAAAUUUAUUUAGUUUUAAUAUUUUAUUGUACACCUAUGAUAACACUUGUCAACCCUUAAUCCUAUUUAUAAAAUCUAAAAAUUUAGUAACAAUUAACCAAAUAUUUCUCAUUAUUUAUUAAACUUAAUUAAAUAAUAGGUUAUCUAGUAUUUUUGAGUUAGCUAUCUAUUUUCUUAACCAAAUAUUUAAAUUACCAUUAUGGACCUAUGUAGUUUUUUUUUAUAUAGGUAGACAACACCAUAAAGUAAUUACAUUCUUAAAGUACUAUUAACAUAGAGAAAUGAUAUUACGCUCAGCUAUUAGUAUAUUUCUCACUGGAAUCUCUCAAAAUAAUUGUACAUUACCUAAUCCAUGUGAAGCUAUCUUGGUUAUAUGAUCAGCAAUUUUAUUUUUAGAAUCUCUCAAUUUGCUAUUAGCCAUUCCACCAAUUAAAAUUAAUUCUACUAGAAGCGCAUUGUCGCAUUUAGUAUUUUUAAUUAUAAAAAAUAAAUUUAAUGUUAAAUAAAAAUUACUAUUUAAUAUUAUAUUUCCUCUCUCCUCAUAUACAUGUUCUUCCUUUCCGAUUCCGUCAUUUUCAUCCCUUUUCUCAUUCAUCUUCAUUCAUGCAGGUUGAAAGGUUUUUUCUUUUUCUCGUUAAGCCAAUGACAUGAAAUUUGGGUUUUUAUAUUGAUGGAGGAGAACCGUUUCUGGGUUGAAAACUAUAAAUUUUGGACUUCUAAACUUGAAAAACCUAUGGCUACGCUUUGAUAGCACCAUUUGUGGAUGAGGUGUUGAAGCAAAAAUCCUUUAUUAAAAAAAGUUUGGGACUUUGAUUUUUUUUUCAAAAGAGUUCUUUUUAUUUUCUUUAAUUGUAAAAAAACAAAGAAACUGUGUUGGGGCAAGAAAAAGAAAAGCUGGAGAAGAUUGAAAGGGUCUUUGUUUAUAUGCAGAAUAUUCAAAGAAAUAAUUUGAAUCAUUUCCCAUCCAAUUUUAUAAAAAUAAUUAUUUUAACCUUCUAUUUAUUAUUUUAAUCACUUUUUAAUUUUUAAAUUUAUAAUAUUUAUCAAAUUAUUCUAAAAUAAAUAAAAAAUUUAACAUCGGUUACUUUUGCUAAAAUGGUAUACGCGCCACUUAAAUAUCACAUCAUCAAUUAAUUUUUUUUUAAAAUUUAAGUUUCAAAAUUUAUUAAAAGUGUUUUAAAAUAUUAAAAAUAAAAAAUAUUUUUUAAUAUUAAAAAAUUAAUUAAUUACUAAUGUGACAAUUAUAAAUGCACACGUUGAUUACCAUAUCAACAAUGUUACAAAAGCUCAAUGGAGGGCUAAAAUGCAAGUCUAGUGUUACUAAUCUCACAUUGCUAAUAUAUAUAAAGUACAAAGAAUUUGAAUAGACAAUUCAUUAUAACUUGAGUAAUUGAGUUGGGUGCAAUUAGAUAGUUAACUUAUUGAGUUUUACGUAUAUUUGUUAUAAUGACAACUGGGCUUAAAUUUGGUGGUGUAAAUAAUUUUUAUAUAUAAUAAUUAUUUUUAUUUUUUAAAAUAAUAAAUUUUUAUUCGCAUUUGAACGAAUUUAUUCAAAUAAUCUAUGUUAAAAUUUACAGUAUCAAAUUUUACCUAACAAAAGGAAAAGAUUAUUUAUGACCAUAUAAGUUAUUUAAGAUUCUAAAUCAGGAAUUUUUCUUUCCAAAAAUAGAUUCACGACUGUCUAUUUUUUUUAACCGAAUUUUAAAACACACACACACCCAAGUAUUUUUAAUUAAAUAUAUAUAUUUAAUAUUAUAUUUCCUCUCUCCUCAUAUUCAUAUUCUUCCUUUCCUAUUCCUUCAUUUUCAUCCCUUUUCUCAUUCAUCUUCAUUCAUGCAGGUUGAAGGUUUUCUUUUUCUCAUUAAGCAAAUGACAUGAAAUUUGGGUUUUUGUUUUGAUGGAGGAGAACCGUUUCUGGGUUGAAAACUGUGAAUUUUUGGACUUCUAAACUUGAAAAACCUAUGGCUACGCUUUGACAGCACCAUUUGCAGGAGGAGGUGUUGAAGCAAAAAUCUUUUAUAAAAAAAUGAUAGGGACUUUGAUGUUUUUCAAAAGAGUUGUUUUUUAAAAUUGUAAAAAAAACAAAGAAAACUGUGUUGGGGAAAGAAAAAAAAAAGCUGAAGAAGAUUGAAAGGUUGUUUGCUUAUAAGCACAUUGUUAAAAAAAAAAUGUUUGAAUUAUCUCCUCAUAAAAAUUAUUUUUACUUGUACGAGUUCAUAAAAUUAGUACAAAUUAUCAUCAAAAUUCAGGCUAACUUAUCAGAACUUUGUUUCAUACAUGCUCAAUCUUUUGAAUACUCAAUUGAUUAUGUUUGAUUUUUGUUUGAAGAAAAUAUUCAUCGAGUAAUGAUUAAUAUAGAUACCCAUUAACUUUAUUAUAACUAAAUCUUCUUUUAAAAAAAUAUUCACAAAAUGCAAAAAUAACUAUUAAUAAACUUUAUUGGAAAAUUAAGCAUGUGUAUAAAUAUUUAUCAAAGACAUUGCUAGAAAGCAAACCUCAUGUUUAUUUUAGUCAAUUCAACAACUGCCUCUUCAUCGAACUCGUUCCAUAUCCCUUAAUAACGUCACUUUGAUCUUCUUUAACUUUGUAACAAUCUCUUUCAUAUGAAGCCUCUCAUUUGGUAACUCUACACAACAUUCUAAGCCAACUUGCAAAAUGGAUAAGGCACAAUUCUUGACUUUUAAAUCUUCCCUUCCAAUGGUGCUCAACAACUUGGGAUCUACAACUUGAUUUCGCGAAGAUGAUAUCGACUCUAUCACCCAACUCUUCAAGCUUCUUUCUCCUGCAAACAUUUCAUCUGUGGGCUUUUUUCUUGUGAUGAUUUCCAUCAAAAGAAUACCAAAACUAUACACAUCACCUUUUGUCGAAACAAUUCCUUCCAUUCCAUAUUCUGUAUGAAUAUAAAACAACAUUAUGAAUAUUCAAAGAUAUCUUGAUAAUGAAAAUUUCCUAUAAAAUAUCUCAAACAUUAUAUGCUUGCCUGUUAUAAUUGAACUAGGAUUUACUCUAGUUGCUUCCUUAAAAAGUCACAUUCAAUGUGUUUGAAACUCAAAUGUUAACAAAUAUAUAUGAUCCCUUUUGUUAUGCACAUUCUACACUUCCAUUGAAAAUGGAAAAAUAAAUAUGGAGUUUGAUUAGAAGUAUCACCUGGUGCCAUAUAUCCAAAUGUUGCCAUUGUCAUGGUUUGUAUCAUUGAAACCUCUUCACAUAAGAGUUUCGCGAUGCCAAAAUCACUCAAAUGUGCAACCAUAUCUUCAUCUAAUAGAACAUUGUUGGGUUUUAAAUCACAGUGAAUCACGGGUGUUGCAUUGCCGUGAUGGAGAUAUUCCAAUGUAGAUGCAACAUCUAUCAUUAUGUUCAACCUUUGUAGGAUAUCCAAAUAUUGGUUGUUGGAAUACAGCCAUUUAUCAAGACUCCCAUUAGGCAUGAACUCAAGCACCAACGCUUUGAAAUUAAGAUCAUUAGAGCAACUGCUUAUUACUUUGACUAAAUUUCUGUGACGAGUGUUGCGGAGAACAUCACAUUCAACAUCAAAGCUCUUAAAAGCUCCUUCUAACUCAAACUUGAAGACCUUUACCGCAAUGAUCGUCCCAUCCGGGAGAGUCCCUUGGAAUACUGCACCAUAACUUCCAUUACCAAGCAACCUACUAUCAUUGAAUCCAUCAGUAGCUUGACGAAGCUCGUGGUAUGAAAAUCGUCUCCACGUUCCUAAAGGUAUCAUGUCUUCUUGAGUUGGCAAUUUGUCUUUCCUCCUCCUAUUUUGCAAGAUAAUGAUAAUCAGAGCCACAACCAAAAUUGUGGAGGCAAUUGGCAAAGCUACAUAUAGUAUGAGCUUAGUUUUUGCCUUGGAAUUUCUAAGAGGUCUAGUUUUGCAGUUUGGAACAUGAAGCCGAGCUGCACCACACAAGGCUUCAUUCCUCUUAAAUGAUUCGAUUGUGUAGUUUUCAAAUGAUCCUCCUUCAGGAAUUUCACCUUCAAGCCUAUUAAAAGAGACAUUGAAAUAUUUGAGAUAACGGAGUUUCUCUAAGGAUUUGGGAAUCUCUCCAAAUAGAUUAUUUCUUGACAAGUCCAAGAAUUCCAAACUCAACGAUUCAUCAAAAGACUCAGGAAUAGAACCCGUGAUUCUAUUAUUGGAUAAGGAAAAAUGAGUGAGGUCCUUGAGAUCUGCAACUCCAGUUGGGAUAUCACCUGAGAACUGAUUGUUCGACAAAUCCAAACUACUCAAAACUUUCCAUUUUCCAAUGUCAAUUGGCAGUGGACCACUCAGAGAAUUUGAAGACAAGUAUAGGAUGAGGAGAUAGUUAAGCCUUGUCAACGUUGACGGUAUUGAAGAGGAAAACAUAUUGGAGUCUAGAAAUAGUUGCCUUAAUGAAGUGAGAUCACCUAAGCAAGUAGGUAUUGGCCCAGACAAUUUGUUAUUGGUUAAGAACAAGAAAGCCAAUUUGUUUAGAUGACAUAACUCAGUUGGGAUGGAUCCCUCUAACUUAUUGUCCUUAAGAGAAAGACUUUGCAACUCUUCCAAUCCUCCAACUGUAGUAGGAAUCUGUCCUAUCAAUUUAUUGCCUCCUAGCUCAAGGCUUAUCAAGUGACUUAAGUUUCCAAUUUCACUGGGGAUGCUACCCCUGAUGUUGCAUGCAGAAGCAGAGAACUCUUCAAGAGAACUUGAGAGAUUUCCUACCACUCUUGGAAGUUCACCACUAAUAAAUGAGUUGAUCUCGAAAAAAAGGUUCUCCAAGACUCUACAGUUUGUCAAAGAAAAGAGAAAGCUCAUUCCUGAGGAAGUUAAAUUAUUAUUCGCCAGGUUGAGAAUCUUUAAAUUUCUUAGAUUUCCCAGAUUAUCAGGAAUGGACCCUGAAAAGUAAUUACUAGACAUGUCAAGAAGAGUAAGCUGAGAGGCAUUGGAAAUAUACAUUGGGAUCGAGCCGGCAAGGUGAUUGAAACCAAGAUAUAGUUCCUCCAUGUUUGGAAGGAAAAGGCCCAUGUUUGAUGGAAGAUGGCCAGAGAGCUUAUUUGUAGCCAAAGAAAUCAUCCUUAGAGUUGAAAUAUUGAACAGUUGUGGAGGAAUAGAACCAGCAAUAUUGUUAAAUUGUAAAUUCAACCAAUUUAGAUUCUUUAGGUUGCCAAUCUCUUGUGGUAUUAUACCUGCCAUAAAUUUUAUCAAACAAAAAUAUUAGACAAAUAUGAGGAAGAAAAUAGUUUAUAUAUAUGAAACAUUUGCUUAUAUUUUUUAUAAUGUGUACAAUUAUAGACAAUUAGAAUCAACAAUAUUUACAAAAAAAAAUUAAUUCACAAUAAGUUUAAAUUGAAUAUUUUAGGUUUAAAGUUGGAAUAAGUUCAAAAUGAGAAGGGAUUGUAUGAAAUUGUGAUUCCACGUCAUGAUCAGAUUUUUCCUCCUAUUUUUAGCUUUUUCUUCUUGAAAAAAUUAAAAUCUAACUAAAAAAAGUUGAAAAUCAGGAGGAAAAAUCUGAUUUAUCAUUCUCCUAUUGGAAAGGAAUAAAAAUGACGUGGAAUCACAGUUUUAUACAAUCACUUCUCGUUCAAGAUAUAGAAAAUAAUGAUGAAAUAAAUGAUAAAGAACAAACAUUCAUAAGUCAAAUAAAAUAAUUAAGAACAUAAAAAUAAAUCAAAUAUGAUUUUUGGUUCCUUGAAGUUUUGUUUGGCCUCAACAGGGAUAAACGUAAAUAAUGGACUUAAAAAAAAAAGAAAUAUACUAAUUGCAAUAACUAUGAAAAAUUUUAUAAUUAUUGUAGAAUAAUCAAAACACAGAAAGCGGUUGAGCAAAAACAAAGUUCAAAUUAAUAAAAAGCUAUCGGUAAAAGUUGCAAAUUAAUAAAAAUAAUUUAGCUCUUUCUUAUACAUUCACCUGUAAAAUUGCUAUGGGAACAAUCAAACUCCAUAAGAAGAGUUAAAUUCACAAUUUGUUUAGGAAUUUCACCUGCAAUUAUAAAAUUCACAUUUCAAAUUCAAAAUUCAUCUCCUAGCAACGAUUAUAAGAAUAAAAUUAAGGUAUAAUGACUUGUUUAGCUCUUCAAUUUUAUUAAAAAGAAUCAUUUUAGUCUUUCAUUUAAUUUUUCAUCUCUUUUAGCUCUUAAACUUGCGAUGUUUGUCAAAUCAUCCCAAAAUGAAUUGAAAAUUCCAUGUGAUUGCCACAUCAACAAUUAGUUUUUUAAAUUUUAAAAAAUUCUAUUUUAUUGCUAACGUGUCAGCAAAGUAAACAAACAUUAACUUUUUCAUACAUUUUUUUGGGCUGAUAUAACAAAUAAUACAAGUUCAAGAGCUAAAAGAAAAGGAAAAUUAAAUAAAUAGUUAGAAUGACUUUUUUUUAUAAAGUUGAAGGGCUAAAUAAAUAAUUAUUCCUAAAGUAAAUAAAGCACGUUAGCAAGGUAUUUCACACAUACACACUUCCAAGCCAAGUUGGAACUAAAAGUAUAUUUCUCUCAUCAUUUUCAUGUAGUUUAUUCUUCAAUGUUCUUUUGAAAAAUUUCAACUAUGUAUUCGUUUAAUAAAUAAAUUUAUAUUUUCAAUCUCAAUAGAAGAUUGAUCUAAAUUAUUAUAGUCAUUACCUUAAUUUCAUUAAAAAAAAAUCGUUCCUUGCAUCUCAAAGUACUUAAAAAAAAGUAAACACUUCAAAAGGUUUUAAAAAUGGUUAGCAUAUGUUACCAUCAAAGUGGUUCCGACUGUUAGAAUUGUGUGACCCAAAUUCUAAGAGAUUGCUUGCAAGUCAAGUUAAACAAAAAUAUAUUUUCUUUCUAGAAGAUUUAGUAUUUAUUAGUAUAAAUAUAUUUAGCAUUUAUUAGUAUAGUUUAUUUGACUUGCUAAUUUAGCCUAUAAAUAGGCUCCUUUACAAUCUUAGAAUUAGAGAGACACCCAUUAGAUUAGAACUCAUAACACAUUCAGAGAAUUUUGUGUUUACGUUUGAGGGUUCUUUGUUUUUCGGGUUUUCGGGGUUUAGUUUUUAUCUCCAUCUUUUGUACUCUUCAUUUUUUUGCCAUUAUAGUAAAAUUAUCUUUGCCCGUAGUUUUUUAUCCUCUUUUGAGGGGUUUUCCACGUUAAAUUUGUGUGUUCAUCUUCUCAAUUUCUUCUACUAUUUUUACUUGUUCGUUGCUUAAUCGGGACGAUCCUAACAAGUGGUAUCAGAGCUAGUUUAACUUUCAUAGAUCAGCCCGGUCAGAGAUGGCAGCAACAAGGUUUGAAAUUGAGAAGUUCGAUGGUGAGACAAAUUUCAAUCUGUGGCAAGUUCGGAUGAUGGCAAUUCUAGUUCAAAAUGGCUUGAAAAAGGUUGUUACAGAGAAAAAGCUUGAGAAUCUAAAUCAAACAGAAUGGGAAGAGCUUGAUGAAAAGGCCUUGUCUGCAAUCCAGUUGUGCCUCGCGAAUACAGUAUUGCAGGAGGUAUUGAUGGAGAAUACCUCAUUCGCCUUGUGGAAAAGGUUAGAAACUCUUUAUGCGACUAAGUCUCUGGCUAACCGUUUAGUGUUGAAACAACAUCUAUUUACGUUUCGCAUGAACGAAUGUGAGCUUCUUAAAGAUCACAUCAGUCAAUUCAUUACUCUUUUAAAUGAUUUAAAGAACGUUGAGGUUCAUAUUAACGAUGAAGAUCAAGCUAUGCUAUUAUUGUGCUCUUUACCCUCUUCAUACAAGUCUUUCAGGGAGACCCUGAUUUAUGGCAGAGACAAACUCUCGUUCGAAGAUGUGAAGGGUUAUUUGUUGAGUAGAGACAAACUCGACAAUGAGUUUGAUUUGAAUAGCAAAGAAGAUAGACAAGCUUCCGUUUUGGUAGCAUCAAAGAAACGAGACAAAAUGUGUUGCUAUUGCAAAAAGUUAGGUCACGUCAAAGCAAAUUGUUAUAAACUGCGAAAUAAAAGAGCUGCUGAGAGUAACGAGGAAGAUGUAGCUGGUGCUAAUUUGGUCGAUGAAGGCGGUGAUGAUUUCUUGUUAGUGUCAACGAGCGAUAACUCCAAGCUUACGUCUGAGUGGAUCCUAGAUUCAGGAUGUUCUUUCCACAUGUGUCCCAAUAGAGAAUGGUUCUCCACAUACAGUUCAGUUGAAGGUGGAGUUGUGCACAUGGGAAACGAUUCAUCUAGUAAAAUAAUCGGUAAUGGUACUGUUAAAAUUAGGAUACACGAUGGGACGAUUAGGACACUCUCAGAUGUCAGGUAUGUACCUGAUUUACGAAAGAAUCUCAUCUCCUUGAGUAUUUUAGACUUGAAAGGAUGCAGAAUCAACAUCGAGUCGAGCGACAUUAAAGUAUCUCGUGGAGCUCUCGUUUUGUUAAAAGGUAAAAGAACCGGCAGUCUUUAUAUUCUGGAAGGUUUUACAGUGACCGGUGAAAUCGGACGUCCCUCAUCCGUUACAGAGUCAAAGUCAACUCAUUUGAAGCGGAGGCAACUUGGUCAUAGGAGGGAAAAAGGUAUGACCGUUUCGUUGAAGAGAGGUUCUCUUUUGGAUGCAGGUUUUGAAAAGUUAGGGCACUGUAUUCGUGAAAUUCAGACCCGGGUUAGUUUUGAUUUGGCAGUGCACAAGUCAAAGGCUAGAAGUCUUCCAGCUUCUAAGCAUAGAUUCGACUCAGUUAAUUCCCUGCAUAGUUCAAGAUAGGCCCGUGGCGGGUUUUGGCAAAGAUGGCAUUGAAAGAAUUUGUGUCAAGAUGGAGAUUGUUAGAAUUGUGUGACCCAAAUUCUAAGAGAUUGCUUGCAAGUCAAGUUAAACAAAAAUAUAUUUUCUUUCUAGAAGAUUUAGUAUUUAUUAGUAUAAUAUAUUUAGCAUUUAUUAGUAUAGUUUAUUUGACUUGCUAAUUUAGCCUAUAAAUAGACUCCUUUACAAUCUUAGAAUUAGAGAGACACCCAUUAGAUUAGAACUCAUAACACAUUCAGAGAAUUUUGUGUUUACGUUUGAGGGUUCUUUGUUUUUCGAGUUUUCGGGGUUUAGUUUUUAUCUCCAUCUUUUGUACUCUUCAUUCUUUUGCCAUUAUAGUAAAAUUAUCUUUGCCCGUAGUUUUUUAUCCUCUUUUGAGGGGUUUUUCCACGUUAAAUUUGUGUGUUCAUCUUCUCAAUUUCUUUUACUAUUUUUACUUGUUCGUUGCUUAAUCGGGACGAUCCUAACACCGACCAAUAUAGAUGUAUUGAAGCAUACUCAAAUUCCCAAUUUCUAUUGGUAGGCUCCCCUCCAUUUGGUUAUACGCUAAAGAUAACAUUUGUAACUCUUUGCACUUGAAUAGACUGGCAGGAAUUCUACCAGAAAGCAGGUUACGACUCCAGUACAAUCCUUUCAAAUUUGGAAGAUGAUCAAACAUAUCUUUUGGGAUAUGACCAGUGAGAUUAUUGGAGGAGAAAUGGAUGACUUCUAGCAAAAGUAAAUCACGUGGAACAAAGGGUAUGGAACCAGAAAGCAUAUUGUAGCUUAGAUAUAUUUCUUGCAACGAAGAGAUAUUGAAGAUGGUGGAGGGAAUUGAACCUGAAAUCUGGUUUCCAGACAAAUACAAGACCUCUAGCUUUGACAAAUAGGCUAAAGAGAAUGGAAUAACACCUUUGAAGUUGUUUUGGUCCAAAAACAACCUUCGAAGUUCAGUUAAUGAUCCCAACCAUGAUGGGAUUUCUCCAUUGAAGGAGUUGUUACCAAAGCUUAAAUAUUUCAGCCGUCGCAAAUUGGAUAACUGGACAGGUAAUCCGCCAUAGAAACUAUUGUUUGUGACAUGAAGAAGAGAAAGGAAUGAUAAAUUUCCCAAGUGAGGUGGAAGGGUGCCUACGAGUCCCAACCUAGUAAGGUUUAGAGCUGUGACUCUACGGUGCUUGGAUCUACAACUUACACCAAACCAAUUGCAAAUAGGGGCAGAGGCUGACCAGUUAGUCGUCAAGACAUUUUCAGGAUCCUGAAUAACAUGAUCUUUUAGUGCUAGAAGAGCUGACUGAUCUCUAAGUAUGGUUGUUAAUUUCAUAGAGAAAGUAGGCAUAGAGAAAUGGAAGAUGAUAAGAAGAGCUAAGUUGAGGAAAGUAUUCCCCAUUUGAAUUUGGGUGUUUAUGAAGCUACCAACAAAGGCAGAACGGAGAUUGCUAGACAGAUAAUUGAAUGAUCACUAACCGUAUGACCACACAACUUUUACAUAAUACGUGUAUGUAUAUAUAAAGGGAGUUUAUGUUGUAAUUUCUUCAUGCAAGAUUGCAAAUUAAUAUGAUUUACUUAGAAAUUACGGAAUUUAUUAUAAGACGUGAUAAUAUAAUUAUGUAAUUAUUGCUUAAAAUUUUUCUUUCUAAAUUUCAUAUUUCUUAAGAAAUUACAGUAAUAAAUUUUACAUAGAAAUAACAUUAACAUUAUUGUCAGUACAGGAGAAUGUGAAUUUGAAUGCAUUGAAACACAUUUAUCUUCUUAUAUAAGUAUUAGCAAAAAAAAUUAUGUAUAGUUCUAGACAUGUUAUAAAAAGAAUUUGAUAUAACAAGAUUUAGAAAAUAAUUUGCAUUAUUUAUUUUAGGAAAUUAUUGAAUAAAGAGAUCAAGAAUUUUCAAUUUAAAAAAUUUUAAAUUUAAAUCAUAACAGGAGAAGGAGUUUAGUUACUUUACAAUUAUCCAAGAUGGAUUAAAUUUGGUUUUAUAUCUAAGAUAUCAAAACCGUAAUUAGGUUAUGAUAAGCAUUAAACUAAAUUAUUGGAAUAAAAAUAUAGGUGAAAUUAUUAAUAAAAGCCGUUUUUUUUCAAAAUUUACUGAAAUGGGCUGAUUUUUUUAUUAUUUACCGGAAUGGUCUAUUUUCCGGGAAAUCGCAUCCACGUCAGAGCGAUGUCAGGGUACGUGUCAGGACAUUGCGUCCACGUCAGCGCGACCUGCUUACGUGGAAGGAAAUCGUGUCCUUGAGGGAGCGAUUUCCUUCCACGUCAGCAGGUCACGCUAACGUGGACGCGAUGUCGGCCGCGUGUGAACAGUACCCCAACGGUCAAAAAUUUGACCGUUGCCCCCCCAACGGUAAAAAAAAAACUAUAAAUACCCCCACCCCUUUUUUUUUUCACAAACAAAUCCUAUCUUCGAUUUCCUUCCAAAAUUCUCUCAAACCCAUAUUUAAUUUCAAUUUCCUCUCAAUUUCCUUCCAAAAUUCUCUCAAAUCCAUAUUUAAUUUCAAUUACCCCUCAAUUUUAUUUUUUAAAAUAAUUUUUAUAUUUUUAUAUUUUUUAAAAUAAUUUUUAUAUUUUUAUAUUUUUUAAAAAUAAUUUUAAAUUUUUUAUAUUUUCAUCAAUGGCCGGAUCAUUGAUUCGUCUUGAUAGGAUUCACAUAUCGGUGGAGCAAAUGAAAAUGGUAAGCAUUAAAUUUAAUUUUUAAAUAUUAUUUAAGAUUUUUUUAUUUAUGUAUUUUUAGAUAAUUAUUAAUUUAUUAUUUGUUAUAAAAGUCUGCAGAUCAGAUAUUGGAAUGCAAUAUCCGGAAUAUGCAUGCUCCUCCAUCACCGUUAGUAGAGAACUACUUGUGGGAAGCGGGUUUUUGGCACGUGGCGACGGUAGUCCGGGGAUGCAAGUUGGACCCGAAACUGAUUAGUGCGUUGAUCGAGAGGUGGAGACCCGAGACGCACACAUUCCAUCUUCCAUGUGGAGAGUGCACUAUCACUCUAGAAGAUGUCAGUCUGCAGUUGGGAUUGCCGGUGGACGGGCACCCAGUCACUGGGUCUGCCCAAUCUAGUAAUUGGGAGGCAGUGUGCUACGAGCUUUUGGGCGCUAUUCCGGAUAAAAUGGAUGGAGGUAAGGUCGAGAUGGGCUGGUUACGUGCCACCUUCCCCGAUCCGAAUGCAAAUUCAACUGAAAUUGAAAGAAUCUGAUAUGCUCGAUCAUACAUUUUUCAAAUAAUUGGAGGUUAUCUGAUGCCCGACACAUCACAGAGCCGUGUACAUCUAAGGUGGCUGCUAAAACUCGUUGAUUUUAGAGGAGCUGGUGAAUUUAGUUGGGGGUCUGCCGUCUUGACAACAUUAUAUCGGGAGAUGUGCGAUGUGACGCGACCGAGGAGAGAAAACAUCGGAGGUUGCCUGUCACUACUGCAAUCAUGGGCACGGUUUCGCUUUCCAUUUCUACAUCCUCGAGUGAACCACCCAUAUACAUUCCCACUCGUAACGAGGUAAAUUUUAUAUUACAUUUUGGAAUUAUUAUGUAGAUUUUGUAAGAAUAAAACUAUGCUAAAUAUUUAUUUAAUUAGGUGGAACCAUCAGGCAAGUUAUCGAGGAUUACCGUCUGAACUUGAAGAUAUACGGCUUCUAUUGGAGCAACGGUCGGAAGCAGAAGUAAGUAUUAUUGCAAAUAGAUAUUUCUAUACAUUCGCUAGUCGAUUGAUAUUUAGUAUUUAGUAUUUAGUAUUAUGUAUAUAACUAAUAUUUCUAUCAUGUUCAUAUAGUUUCAAUGGACACCAUACGAGGAUCCGGCAAUUCGAGUAGUAAUCUAGGAAGAGUUUUUACAAAAUCUGAACGCUUGGCACGCGAAAGUGGUGUUGAUCAACUAUGCAACCGUGGAGCCCCACCAGACAGACAGAGUGCUACGACAGUUUGGAUGUAGACAACCGAUUCCUGCGGACCUUGAGGUGUUUGACGAUCACCACAAAAUCGACCUUCGGCUAUUAGGUAUGGAUUGGCCUAGAUACUGGUCCGAGUACACACAAAUGUGGGAAAAUCGGCUUGAAUAUCUACCUACUCGGGAAGAAAUCAUCGUUCCGGAGUUAGCGUGCGUUCCAGAAUACAUGCCAUAGUUUAGGAUCCAUGGCAAGCCGUAUUUACUUAAGCCAGAGGAUAGGCAGCGGCAAAUACGUGUCGGCAGGGAAAGGCGCGGGCCUCUAAAUCCAAGACAAGAAUACUACGAAGGCAGCCCCUCAACGAGGCCCAGACAGUCACCGGCUCAUCAUCAGCAGCCAUGCAAUCACCGUCCCUAAUGAGAGCACCGACGCAGUCACCUGGCGCAGCAAUUCAACAGAUGAUACCCACGCAACCGCCUUUCCCUAUGAUGCCAGGUGUGUUUCCUAGCCCUUAUAUGUACCCUAACCCUUACAUGUAUCCUUUUCCGAAUCCUAUGGCAGGUUGGAGCCAAAUGCCCGGUUCAGCUCCAUUUCCUGUUAUGCCGAGCGGACCGUCGAUAUCUAGGCCAGCGGCGCAGGAGGGAUCGCAAGGGGGGCCGUCGGGGAGCUCUCCUUUUUACCAAUCGCCACCAACGUAUGGCUUUCAAACACCGUUGUCGUUCAUGAUGCAAACACCUCCACAUACACUAUUCUUUGAAGGUGGAUCAUCGUCCCAAGUCCGACAACCAGAUGCCGAACCGGAAGAACCACAAUCACCACCGAAGGAAGAACAACCGCCGCCGGAAGCUAGAGGAAGGAGGAAUCUAGCGCGUAACCGUCGACGGCCGCCAUGUGCAACUGAAUCCCUCGGGCAUAGACAUUGAUUGCCGUAUUUAAAUUUAUUAUUUGAUGUAAUAAAAUAGAAGUUUAUUUGAUGUAAUACGUAUAGAAAUUUUUUCGAGUUAUUUUGAUAUUAUUUGAUGUAAUAAAAUAGAAGUUUAUUUGAUAUAAUAGGCAUAGAAAUUUUUUCGAGUUAUUUUGAUAUUAUUUGAUAUAAUAAAAUAGAAGUUCUAUUUGAUGUAAUAAAAACCAUAAUUUAAUUAAAAACCCUAACCAUAACCUAACUUAAUUAAAAACCCUAACCCUAACCUAAUUUAAUUAAAACCCUAACCCUAACCUAACUUAAUUAAAAACCCUAACCCUAACCAAACUUAAUUAAAAACCCUAACCCUAACCUAACUUAAUUAAAAACCCUAGCCCUAACCUAAUUUUACAUAAUUUGAUAAUUUUACUAACCAUUAACACAAUUUUUGGACUUAAUAAUUUUACAUAAUUUGAUAAUUUUACUAACCAUUAACAAAAAUUUUUUUGGCUUAAUAAUUUUACAUAAAUUUACAUAAUGUUAGAUUUGGUAAAAUAUUUUGACUGGUACUAACAAUUAAGAAAUUAAAAUAAUUUGAUAAUUUUACUAACAAUUAAUACAAUUAUCAAUUAAUAAUUGAAUAAAAUAUAUUUUUUUCUAAAAUUACAUUCAACUAUUGCGAUUAGGGCAUGAUCGACUUGUAUGGCCUGGGUUCCUACACCAUCCGCACAACUUCUGUUGACUGGUUGUUUCUCGGAUAUCCAUAUUGUUCCGUAUUCUAGUGGAGCACGGUCGACCCUUUAGUUUGCGACGCAAUUCUCUAUCCGGUAACAGCUUAAAAAGAGCAAGAGAUACGGGCGGCCACUUACGUUCAUCUGGGACCGGUGGGAAAACGUGUCUCCAUACGUUGUACAUGUUUUCUAAUUUGUACACUUCGUCCACAUAACUCAUCGAAUCCAGACGGAGUUUCUGACAAGCUGCAAUAACAUGAGCGCAUGGAUAGCGAAGUACAUCAAACUUCCCACUGUCACAAGUCCUGUUUUGCAAGUGUACACGAUAUUGUCCGCCAACAACACCUUGGUGCGGUCUGUCAAACUCUGUCACACGAAACCAUAAAUUGUCUCGAUCGUGACACACUGUGUGCAUGAUGUUUGCCCUCGCCUUCGCCUUGUUAAUUUCUUGAACUACCUUACUGCACCAUACAUGGCCACCCUGCAUCUGGCCUGCAUAAGUUGCUGCUCGCUUUGGAAAUAGCGCCGCCAAACGGAAAUAUGUCUCUUGCACAACCGAUGUUAUCGGUAGAUGGCACGUUCCUUUAAUAACAGAAUUUAUGCAUUCUGCCAGGUUUGAUGUCAUAUGGCCAUAUCUCAGGCCUCCGUCGUAUGCUUGUACCCACUGUUCGAAACGUAUGUUACAAAGGUAGUCUGCCCCUUCUCCGUUUUGGGAUCGUAAAAUUACCAACAUCUCGUGAAAACGAUCUUUAUUUAUUUCAUACCCCGCCAAUAUAAGAUUAUAGCGAAUAUUUUAUACCACUUCUACCAAUAAAACUAAUUCAAAUUGACAAACGAAAUAAUAUAGUUAUAGACUAAAUACCCAUAUUGGUCACUUGUCGUCGUUCGCUCUUAGAUGGAUAUUGCUUGUAGUAGUUCGAAGCAGCGUAUCUUAGGCAAUAUCUAUGGUGUGUGCGCUGCCACAAGCUUCCCUGUCGAUCAAAUGUAGCAGUAUACCGGCGCCCCGAUCUGAAAUAACAUAGAUAUCAGGUUGGGGGCACACAUGCCUCCUUAACCUAGAGAGAAAGAAAUCCCAGUCAUCAGACGACUCCCCCGGUGUUAUUGCAAAUGCAAUUGGAAGAAUUUUCCCACCGCCGUCCUGUGCCACUGCAACCAAUAGCCGAUGAGUAUACCUACCGAACAUGAAGGUACCGUCAAUUUGUACCAAUGGCUUGCAGUAUGGAAAUGCGUCUCGGCAUUGCUUAAAGGUCCAAAAUAGGCGUUUGAACACUUGACAUCCACGUAGCAAUCGGCCGUUGUAGUACGCAUGUUUCGUUUCAAGGUCUGUGAUGGCACCUAGGACGUAUCUCUCUAGCACCUGACACCACUGUCAUAUUUCAUUAUAUGAGGCGUCCCACCCACUAUGCAUCUUCUCCAACGCCUUUUGCUUAGCUAUCCAAGCCUUGCGGUAAGAGGGCGUGUACCCCAUUUGGCUACGAAUAUUGGCAACUAUCACCAGCACUGAAGUCCUAGGAUCUGCUUUUAUCAUGGGCAGUAUCAAGCUAUCUAACAUAGCUGAAUCCAUUUUGGGAUGAUCUUGUGAAACACCUACAGAGGGAGUACAUUAAAUAAUGCAACAUUGCAAAAUAAAAUAAUUAUUUAGAUACAUUAAAUCAUGUACCUGCAGCACAUGUAUGUGGACCUUUGUACUUUUUAAUCUCCCACAACCUUGUCCUUUUCCUUAACGAGACGACGAUUUUCCAUGAACAUGUGCCGUCUUGCACCGCACACUUCGCCUCAAACUUAUCAGAUUUUAAUUUAACGACGUGGUCAUUAACGCCGUUUUUGAUGCUAUGCUGUUUCAAAGCACCAAUAAAACUAUCCUUGUUGGUAAACUGAUUACCAACUUCAAGUUCACCGAAAUUUACCCCCGAACUUGUACGAUCGCACAACCGGUGUGGUAGAUCUGGAAACUCUAACGCAUCAUCUGCUGACAGAUCGACAUUAUGCAUGUGGGCUGGAGGUGAGUAUGCUCUGAAUCGUGAAUUUUCUUCAUCAUCUGAACUCCUUUCAGCAUCUUCACCUUCUGUUGGAAUAGGCUCCGGUUCAGAAAAUAAUCUCACUUCUGCACCAUCCUGCCCGGGCUCUCGAGGUGGAUCCACAUCGGAGUCAUCUUCUAACCCACAAUCAUCUGCAGCGUACGACGUCCCUUCACCGGUUGACGUCGUAGGUAGUACGUCAUCCCUUCUUCUGGGCAUUUGAUAACGUUUCCAAUUAGAUGUAGAUUGCCAUCCACUAGAACUUGAUGUAGUUCCCCAGUACGUAUUUCCAGCAUCAAACGUCGAGCCACCGACAUAUAUGUCCCAUCCACCGACAGAGUGUCUUGCGGGGGAUGCAUUCGACAGCGCUACCGAACAUGGGCUGUUCUAUAUUUUGUAACCCGCUAACCGAGUGUCGGCCAGGGGUCGUGUAUACAUCUCAAACACCAGACGGAAGUACAUCAGUUGGCAACGUAAAUUGUACAUAUAACUCAAUAUAAGUUGCUCCACUAGCAAGAUGAGUCUCCACCAUUGCCUCAAAGCUACGAGCACAUUUUCUGUCGAACGAGUCAUAUGUCACCGGAUCAACACAAGAACAAAAUCGAUACGUGAUUGACAAAACUUUCAUUGGCAUCGUUCCGAAGAUUUUACGCCUAAUUCUUUUACGAAGUUCUGUCAAAUCUAUGUUCUGGUUAAAUGACAGUCACACCGUAUUCUCCGACUAAAGAACAACACCAUUCUCGGUGUGGCAAACCUCACCAUCGUAGUAAAUAACAGCACUAAUACAUUCACUCAUUUUGAAACUCUAACUUUCUUAGCCUCUCUAAAUUGUUUCUGCUAUGACUUAUGCAUUCUAAGAACAUUUUCUGCCUAAUUUAUAGCCUCAGCUCAAACUUGCUACUGCAGCAAAAUCGCGUCCACGAGGGCGUGAUUUCACAAUUUCUUCUCAAAUAGCAUCCUGGUACAAGCGAUUUUAUACUAUUUGCUCAGAAACGUCAAAAAAAAUUAUUUCUUACAUGACCUACUGUAGCAAAAUCGCGUCCACGAGGGCGCGAUUUCACAAUUUCUUCUCAAAUAGCAUCAUGGUACUAGCGAUUUUAUACUAUUUGCUCAGAAACGUAAAAAAAAUUAUUUCUUACAUGACCUACUGUAGCAAAAUCGCGUCCACGAGGGCGCGAUUUCACAAUUUCUUCUCAAAUAGCAUCCUGGUAGAAGCGAUUUUAUACUAUUUGACCAGAAACGUCAACUUAAAAUAAUUUAUUCCGGGACCUAAAAAUCCUAAAAAGCCUGAACCCUAAACCCUAAAAGCCAAAAAAACCAAACGUGAAAAAAAAGUCAAAAUCACGUCCCCCGGAAUGUGCUACGUGGCAGGACAUCGCGUCCACUUCAGCGCGACCUACUGACGUGGAAGGAAAUCACUCCCUCAAGGACGCGAUUUCCUUCCAUGUCAGCAGGUCACGCUGACGUGGACGCGAUGUCCUGACACGUACCCUGACAUCGCUCUGACGUGGACGCGAUUUCCCGAAAAAUGGACCAUUCCGGUAAAUAAUAAAAAAAUCGGUCUAUUUCGGUAAAUUUUGAAAAAAAAACGGCUUUUUUUGGUAAAUUACCCAAAAAUAUAAGCAAUUUUACAAUAUUCGUGGUGGGAACAUAUCCCAUCACCAACUUUUCAUAACUUCUUUUUCCCAUUUUAUAAAAUGUCUAUAGAUUAAGUACUGGCUCUUCAAUUUUCUAAGUAUUCAUUGUCUUACCCCUUUCUUGGGUUUGGUUUGGGAAGGUUGCUUGACUUCGUUGUGCAAUUUAAAGUCUUUCCAAUUUGUCGUUUUAGAAGUGAUCGGAAAAUUUGCACUUCUUCAUGUACUAGAAGAAAAGUGAUUGGGUUCAAAGAAUAAAAACAGGGAUAGAUUAUUUACAUAGUUUAGUUUUUCUAUUCCUACAGAGCCUACGUUAUGAGGAAUAGUUUAGUUUAUGUUGUAGUUUCUUCCUGCAAGAUUACAAAUUUUUUUAAUGUGAUUUACGUAGAAACUACGAAAUUUAUUAUAGGAUGUGAUAAUAUAAUUCUAUAAUUAUUGCUUAAAUUUUUUCUUUCUAAAUUUCAUAUUUCUUAAGAAAUUACAGUAAUAAAUUUUACAUAGAAAUAAUAUGUAGUAUUGAAAUUAAAUUGCAGUUGUACAAAGGUUACAACUUUUUUAUUAAAUUAUUAAAAUUAUUAGAGAACAUGAUAAAAUUAAAUGAGAACCUUUUUAUCAAAGUGACAAGUGAGCAGUCGCUUUGAAGAAUAUAAAUAACCCUUCCGCUUGCUUAAUUUGUGUUUCUAUUGACUAAAAAAAUUUUGAACAAAAAGGAUAUUGACUAAAAAUUAAAAUAACCAUGAAAUCUUUUACAACAUUCAACGAGGUUGAAAGAUUUUAUUUUUAAUUUUUUUUAAAUAAUAACUUAUUUGGCUUCUAAUUUUAUAAAAAAAUUAUUUUUUAUUCCUUAAAACUUAUAUUAUUUAUCAACAUUGGCUUACUCCUUCGUUGGGUUUGGUUUGGGACGGCUGCUUGACUUCGUUGUGCAAUCUAAAGUCUUUCCACUUUGUCGUUUUAAAAGUCUGCAUAUCGGAGAAUAUCACAAUUGAGAAAGAAUUAUAUAUUGCUGUGAAACUGAACGUAGUUGCUAAUAUAUACGUUAAGUGAUUAAAAACUUGGCACCUCUUCAAGUGCGGGAAGAAGUGAUUGCGAAGUUGACACUUUUUCUAAGUUAUUAAAAAAAAUAAAUAGGAGACACAUAUUGUUUACUUAGUUUGGUUUCUUACGUUUGCGGAUCUUAGUUUAGUGAAAAAUAUCUACUAUCUCCAACAUUUAUAAUGAGUGAUCUUAAAUCUAUCACAACUCACUACAAUUUCCUCACUUUUGUACUUUUGAAAAUCGGUACUUUCAUCACUAAAUUCACUCCUGUGAACUUAAUUUAUAAAAUCACAACACACAAGUUUUACAAUCAAAUGCACUCUUACAAACAAUAUUCUUCGCUUAAACAGACCAAGUUCUCUCAAUUCUCUAUACAAUCACCUAUACAAGUCUCUCAAUUAUAAAUAGAUUUCGAGAUUUACUAACAUAAUGAAAAUCUAUAUCAAUCUCUAUUAAACAACAACUAAACUAGUUGAAUAAAUUAUAAUAAUAAAUAAGGUAAACAAGGAUUGUUGGCAGCUAAGUCUUCUACGUUCCAAUUCGAUUCAACUUUCUCGAUCCAAGCGAUUAGAUAUACAUGGUCCGAUCCAAUCCGAUCCCUUAAACAUGUUUCCUGAAGUGAUAUGAUCUGUAACACCCCAAACCCAGCCUAACGUUAUAUAUGGUCUAACAUAUAAUAAAAUUUAUUAUUUAUAAAAUAAACUAAAAAUAAAAAGAGAGAAAAGUUUGAAUAUGGUUUAAAUAUUGUUUGUGAGGUUUUUUUAAAAAAUAUUUUAUUUAUAAAAAUAUUAUUUUAAGAAAUAAAUGUUAUGUUAGAAAGAAGAGAAAAUGGGUAUUCAUGUGUAUUUAUAAUUGUGUUAUGUAUUGUUAUAAAAAUUUAUGUGUUUUUAUAAAAAAAAAACUUUUACAUAUUUUGAAUUUUUAAGAAGUAAAACUACAUUGACAAAAUGUAUAAAAUUGAGAGCUAAAUUUGUUGAUUUUUUAGAGUUAAAGCUAAAUUGAUAGAAUCUGUCAACAUUAGAGGGUUAAAUUUGUUAUUAUAUUAAUAAAAAAUGCCACCGUUAAUGAUUUAACAGAGGAACAACAAAAAUAUUAAAAUUUGAUAAUAUUAAUGAAUGAAAUAAAAAUUUUUAAACUUAAAUGACCAAAAUAGAAACACACUAAUAAUUAGAUAAACUAUUUUUUUUACUUUUCCCUAGAUUUAAUAAUGUUACCCGAUUUUCCAUGAUUCCUCCAUUUUCUUACCCCUUUCUUGGGGUUGGGACCCGGCUUCACUUUAUUUGUGCAAUCUAAAGGCCUUUCAACUAUGUCAACAAUUGCUUAUGAACUUAUAAUGCGAAACCUUAAGCAAUUGGACAACGAAGCUAUCACUUUUCUUCUUCAAGGAUAAUUAAGAUGGGUCCGGCAUGGUCACUAAAUUUCCAUCACUUUUUGGCCAUUUUCUUUUCUAUGUUUUGCACAUUUUUAAAUCUCUAUACAUUCAAUAAUGCUCCCCAAUUGAAGGUUCUUCUUUUUCAAACCUCGUCUUUUACUCGACUUUGUUGUGCAAUUUAAAGUCUUUCAGCUUUGUUGUUUGGGUAACUUAUAAAAAUAGUCACUUAAUUUUAGUUAAAUUUAUUUUCUCACUGAAUUAUAAAAAAAUUACAUUUUAGUCACUAACAGUAUCGAGUUAUAACGUUUUGGUCACUCAUCCAUUAACCGCCAUUUUAUCCUUAAGGAAAAGUGCCGUUAACUCAAGGGUUAAUAUUUAAUUUGACCUUUGAACUAUAGUUAAAACAUUCAACUUGGUCAUAAUUUAUUAAAAAAUAUUAAAAAUAAAAAAUUUAAAAAUUUAUUUAUUGUUUGAUACUAUAAAAAAUAUAUAUUUUGAAAUUGUAAUUAUGUAAUGUUUUAAAAAACCAUAGAAUCCUUUAAAUUUAAAUUAUAUUAGAAAUCCUAUCACAGUUGUGCACAUGUGGCAAUCAUGAAUUUAGAACAUAGAUUUGUGUUUAAAAAUGAAAUCCAAUAAAUAAUGAAAUCGUAUAGUUUGAAACUAAUUAAUCAUAAUAACACAUGAAAUAUGUAUGAUAUUAAAGUUAAAAAAUUAGAUUAAAUUGUGAGUAAAACUAAACUUAAACAUAUAAAUACAUUAAAUUAACAAUACUAAACCAACUCAACUAAUAACAUUAUUAAUAUAUACAAUGGAUGAAGUGUGCAUAAUAAAAUUAAAUUGUAUAUGAAAAAAUCAAAAUAAAACUUUGGUUGAGUGGUUAAUUUAGGGUUUUGCUAAUGUGAUUGACGUAGAUAUUAUAAUAUGUAUAUUUUUUAUUUUUUUAAGAAAGUAAAAGAUUAAAGUACCCCCGAAUAAUAUAAUUUAUUUAAUUACAAAAGAACAUUUCCAUAAUUUCUCUAACCGAGUUGAUGCUCGUCUAACUCGUAAUAUCAACUCAAUCAAAGACUUAAAAUAAUGGUAUAGAUAAAAAUGUAGAUUGAGUCAUGGUUAUCUGAACCUAUUGAACUGGCAAUGAUACCAGUCUGGAGAGAGGCAUUAGAUCAGUUCACUCGCAAACCAGUACAGACCAAUAUUAGAACUAGACUAAAAAACUGAUUGAAUCGUUUUUUUAAUAUUUUAAUAAUUUGUAAUCCAACUAUACAAACCAAUAUUUCAACCACCAUUUUAGUUCUAAAAACUUUGCUUAAAGUAUAUUUAAUUUUUAAUUAUUUACUUUAUAAUUCUACACAAAUACAUAAUUACCGCAGCUUCAGAACAGACGAGGACUAAGAAAAAGAAUCAGCUAAUUUUACUGAUUGCAAUUCUAUGAGUAACGCAGCAAACUUAGCUUUCUUUAAUUUCGUCUCACACUAAUAAUUUGUAUCUAUGAUUUAACUUGGACAAGAUCUUUAUCAAGUUGUUUUUUAUGCAAUUGACUAAUAAAAUUCCAUAUUGAGCCAUCGAAUUUACGAGAAAUGGAUACAACAAUGACUUCAAAAUAAAUUGGACUUUUUAUUUUGCAAUUCACUUUUAUAGUUUCAAUAAUGGCCAACCAAUUUUCCAUGACUUUUAUAGCUUGACUUAAGUUGUGCAAUCUAAAGUCUUUUUCUAAACCGUGAGAACAGAAGAAAACAUAUGAGCAGCCAUUGUUGAAGUCCCAUGUUCGGCCAAGCUUCUCAUUUUACACGGUGAGUAAUUUUAAUCUCGUUUUUCAUGAAUUUUAUAUUUUUGAGAUUAUUGUAAUUUUAAUCUAGUUUAGCUAACUCAAGUGUUAAUUUUUGAAACUGUUAAAAUUUCUAAAUGUUACUAUUGAUGAAUGAUUGAUGAAAUUAGUAUUAAUUGAUUAGAUUUUUCUGCUUAGAUAUGAAAAAGGCUUAAUUAUCAAUUAUCAAUUCCAAAUAAAAAAUAUUAUUGAUAUUUUCUAUUAUGAAAACCCAUUCUCAAUGUGUUGAAUCGUUGAACAAGUAAUUUUUACUUCUAUUGUGGCAAAUUCAAUGGAGGGAGUUAUCUUCUUAUUUCUACCAUAAAAAGUUUCUCAAUAAAUUUCAUUGGGUGAAAAUUUUGAGUUAGAUUAGAGUGCUUCAAAAUCUCAUGGCAAUUAACAAAUUACGUGAAUGUGUGUGAAAAUAGGAAGGAUAUUAGUAGUUCACCUCUAAUUGCUUAGGCAUGAUACUCGUUGUGAAAAUAGGAAGUUUCUCAACAAUUCCCAUGAUACUUGUUGGAUAACUCGAUCAUCUUUUUUACAGGAUGUAAACUUUUCUAAAUGAUAAGGAAAGGAAAAGAAAACUUAGGCAAUUCAAUUUAAGUAGUUCACAUUUAAUUGCCUACCUCCACUUAGUAUCCUUUAAUCAAAUAAUUUCUCAAAUUACUAUAAGAAUUUGUACCUUUCGAGGAGAAGGUAUAACAUUUACAGCACUAUCUUUUUCUUAAGGCUUAGAUAUAACCUUUCCCUCUAGCUUUUAUAGUUGUUGUAUAGUCGUCGUUGGCAAGUCAUGUCUCGAGACAAUUUAUCAAUUGUCUUUAGACACACUGCACUAUAUCUCAAGACAAGUAGCUCCUAUCAAUUGGUACAAGCCAGUAUGAACUAGUAUAAGUUAGUAUUGACUGAAACGAGCUUAAACAUACUGGAAUUGUCAAAACACAUCAAAAUCUUAACCAUAAUGAAGCCUAUACUAUUUAGUAUUGGUUGAAGACCAGAAAGAUACGCAUCGAGUGUGUUAAAUGUUGAUGUCCUUUUUAUGUACUGUUUAUAUUUUUGUUCUUUUAAUAAUAUUUGUUUGGCUUAUAAAAAUUAUUUUUAUUAAAAUAAAAUAAAUGAAAAGCUUAUGCAAAGACUAAAAAAAGAUAUCAAAAUUUGCUAUGUUUUGAUAUUGGGCAUUUAAUAAUUUGUACCUAUAUUUAAAAAAAAAUUGUACCAAUACAAUUUCAUAAAAUUAGUACAAAUGGUCAUCAAAAUUCAGCGUAACUUCCUAAAUAUAUUGCUAAUUGAUAUAAUUGAGAACGGUUAUGCGGUUGAUAAUAAUCUUUUUGAACUUCGUUUAGUACAUGAUUUAUGCAAGUAAUAUUGGCAACUUAAGUUUCGGCAUGUCCUGCGAGAACAUAAGAGACUGACAGAUUGCAUGACCAAAGUUGUUCUUAGUAAUCUUAAUAGGUUAACAACUUUUGAAGACCCAGCUAAUCAUGCUCGAUCUUUGUUAGAAGAAGAUGCUCAUCGAGCAAUGAUUAAUAUAGACUCUCAUCAACCUAAUUGUAGCUAAUUCCUUGAACUUGUUUCUUUUUUAAAAAAAUUCACAAAAUGCAGAAAUAACUAUUAAUAAACUUUUUAGGAAAACAGAGCAUCUGUAUAAAUAUUUAUCAAAGACAUUGCUAGAAAGCAAAGCUUAUGUUUAUUUUAGUCAAUUUAACAAUGGCCACUUCAUCGAACGCGUUGCAUAUCCCUUGAUAACUUUACUUUGAUCUUCUUUAACUUUGUAACAACCUCUUUCAUAUGAAGCCUCUCAUUUGGUAACUCUGCAGAACAUUCUAAGCCAACUUGCAAAAUGGAUAAGGCACAAUUCUUGACUUUUAAAUGUUCCCUUCCAAUGGUGCUCAACAACUUGGGAUCUACAACUUGAUUUCGCGAAGAUGAUAUCGACUCUAUCACCCAACUCUUCAAGCUUCUUUCUCCUUCAAACAUUUCAUCUGUGGGCUUUUUUCUUGUGAUGAUUUCCAUCAAAAGAAUACCAAAGCUAUACACAUCACCUUUUGUCGAAACAAUUCCUUCGAUUCCAUAUUCUGUGUAUGAAUAUAAAAACAACAUUAUGAAUAUUCAAAGAUAUCUUGAUAAUGAAAAAUCCGUAUAAAAUGUACGAAACAUUAUAUGCUUGCAUGUUAUAAUUGAACUGGGAUUUAAUCUAGUUGCUUCCUUAAAAAGUCACAUUUAAUAUGUUUGAAACUCAAAUCUUAACAUAUAUGAUCCCUUUUGUUAUGCACAUGCUACGCUUACAUUGAAAAUGGAAAAAUAAACAUGGAGUUUGAUUAGAAGUAUCACCUGGUGCCAUAUAUCCAAAUGUUGCCAUUGUCAUGGUUUGUAUCAUUGAAACCUCUUCACGUAAGAGUUUCGCGAUGCCAAAAUCACUCAAAUGAGCAACCAUAUCUUCAUCUAAUAGAACAUUGUUGGGUUUUAAAUCACAGUGAACCACGGGUGUUGCAUUUUCAUGGUGGAGAUAUUCCAAUGCAGAUGCAACAUCUAUCAUUAUGUUCAACCUUUGUAAGAUAUCCAAAUAUUGGUUGUUGGAAUACAACCAUUUAUCAAGACUCCUAUUAGGCAUGAACUCAAGCACCAACGCUUUGAAAUUAAGAUCAUUAGAGCAACUGCUUAUUACUUUGACUAAAUUUCUGUGACGAGUGUUGCAGAGAACAUCACAUUCAACAUCAAAGCUCUUAAAAGCUCCUUCUAACUCUAACUUGAAGACCUUUACCGCAAUUACCGUCCCAUCCUGGAGAGUCCUUUGGAAUAGUGAACCAUAACUUCCAUUACCAAGCAACCUACUAUCAUUGAAUCCAUCAGUAGCUUGACGAAGCUCGUGGUAUGAAAACCGUCUCCACGUUCCUAAAGGUAUCAUGUCUUCUUGAGUUGGCAAUUUGUCUUUCCUCCUAUUUUACAAGAUAAUGAUUAUCAGAGCCACAACCAAAAUUGUGGAGGCAAUUGGCAGAGCUACAUAUAUUAUGAGCUUCAGCUUAGUUUUUGCCUUGGAAUUUCUAAGAGGUCUUGUUUUGCAGUUUGGAACAUGAAGUCGAGUUGCACCACACAAGGCUUCAUUACCCUUAAAUGAUUCGAUUGUGUAGUUUCCAAAUGAUCCUCCUUCAGGAAUUUUUCCUUCAAGUCUAUUAAAAGAGACAUUGAAAUAUUUGAGAUAACGGAGUUUCUUUAAGGAUUUGGGAAUCUCUCCAGAUAGAUUAUUUCUUGACAAGUCCAAGAAUUCCAAACUCAACAAUUCAUCAAAAGACUCAGGAAUAGAACCCAUGAUUCUAUUAUUGGAAAAGGAAAAAUGAGUGAGGUCCUUGAGAUCUGCAACUCCAGUUGGGAUAUCACCUGAGAACUGAUUGUUCGACAAAUCCAAACUAGUCAAAACUUUCCAUUUUCCAAUGUCAGUUGGCAGUGGACCACUUAGAGAAUUUGAAGACAAGUAUAGGAUGAGGAGAUAGUUAAGCCUUGUCAACGUGGAAGGUAUUGAGGAGGAAAACUUAUUGGAGUCUAGAAAUAGUUGCCUUAAUGAAGUGAGAUCACCUAAGCAAGCAGGUAUUGGUCCAGACAAUUUGUUAUUGGUCAAGAACAAGAAAGCCAAUUUGUUGAGA